RNAcentral lists this long non-coding RNA (63142 nucleotides) under Ananas comosus (pineapple). RNAcentral describes it as "long non-coding RNA (ACOM_LNC043231)". Lineage: Eukaryota; Viridiplantae; Streptophyta; Magnoliopsida; Poales; Bromeliaceae. The record is from RNAcentral.
GUGACGCCCCAACUUCCCAGGGGUCACCCAUCCUAGGACUACUCCCGUCCUAGCACGCUUAACUCUCUUAACCUCUUGGGCCUUGUCACCAUCCAAAAUGCUUAAGCCGGGUUAAGAGUUUAGCCCUAUUAUAUCUCAUAUAUAGGACUAUCUGGGGUCUCACAAUCUCCCCUCCUUUAAGCCCUGACGUCCUCGUCAGGCUCAGACUCACAAAUACCAGGCGAUGUGAGACUCAUCUCGCUAGCCCGUCAUCCAGACCCUGGCUCAGCCGAGACUCAUCUCACACUUCAGGCUGGUAAUUGGCUCUGAUACCAUCUGUAACGCCCUGACUUCCCAGGGGGUCACCCAUCCUAGGACUACUCCCGUCCUAGCACGCUUAACUCUCUUAACCUCUUAGGUCUAGCCACCACCCAAAAUGCUUAAGGCCCAAGAGGUUAAUAGAGUUAAGCGUGCUAGGACGGGAGUAGUCCUAGGAUGGGUGACCCCCUGGGAAGUUGGGGCGUCACACUUUGGGCCCUGAUAUUCUGUUGGAAGCAAAGAAAAAGGUCAGAGUUGUGCGACGACACAUUGAGACUGCCCGAGUCGAUAGAGAAGUUAUGCUGAUACCCGAAGACGAGACUUGGAGUUUCAGGUGGGUGACUAUGUUUUUCUGAAAGUCUCGCCGUCCAGAGGGAUUGUAAUACACUGAAUUUUUGCAAAUUGUGAAAUUCGAGUGCGAGGAAUGAUGUGUGGAACUCUUCUACAUGUUCUAUAGGACUUGGACAAGUUUUUGAAUAAGUUAAAGAGUGCUUGGAAGGCUAGNGAGUCGGAGUCGUUUUGGCGCGAAAUAGACACAGAAACAGACUCGGAGUUGUGAGAGUUGGAGUUUGGACACUGAAAUCUACAAAAGUAGGAUUUUGAGUGUUGUGUACUGGUACUUGAGAGGAGUACCGGUACCCCAGAGGGAUUACCUGAAUGGUUGCUCUCAGGUUUGUGCAGUUUGGUGUUGCGUAUCGGUACCUAUUGGUGAGUACCGGUACUGGGACUGGGUAUCUAUAUUGCAUCGGGCCAGUACCGGUACAACGUCACUGUCUGAGUGCUGGAUACCGGUACCCGAAUUGAGUACCGGUACUGAGUCGGCAGGUUUGAGUUGGUAAGGGGUCUUUUGGUCAUUUCGUCGUGGCAUUUAGUCCAACCGACCCCAGCUCGUAUAUAUGUGUAGGAAGCUUGGAGAACGCGGUUAGCUUCUCCUCCUUUUUUCUCUCUCUAGCUAAUUGGAACUCGAUCUUGGUUUUAUUCUUCUGGUUUUGGAGGACUGCUCGUGCACCGUGGGUUGCUUCCGGUUGAGGUUGUUCCGGCACGGGGUUUCUUCGAUCAACUUCUGGCCGGUGUUGGACGAGCAUUUGAGGUAGGUUAAUGUUUACCGAAAUCGUCGGAAUUCCCCCUAAGUCGUAGAGUUGUCAGUAUGCAUUUUCUUGUUUUGUUUAGUAGCUCGAAUUCAUAGAUUUGCAUGGUUUUUAUGAAAUUUGAAUUUGGAGCAUAAGCUACUGAUGUUAGAUAAAUCUUAUAUGCUGAACUGGAAUUUGACUUAGGAGAAAACUCGAUAAACCUACACCUGCUAUUUUUUUCGAAAAGUUAACAAAAUUAGCUUCAGGAGCUAUUUUCCUUUUGUAUCACCGCUGUUAGCACGUCGUGGAUACCUAGAUUAGUGUAGGUUGAGUUUACGCUCGUGCUGAGGGGCUGAGCUCUUUUUUACAGCAGAGUUAGGUUGUUUUAUACUGUCGGGUACCGUCGAGGCUGACAGUGGACCUUGAUGUUUACAUUUUGUAUCAGAUUGUACCGAGGCACGUAAGCUUUGGUUGUUAGACCAGUUUGACCCAUUUGCAUGGACUAUAGCCUAUGUGAGCCUGAUUGAGCUCGACAGAGACUGUUCAGUCUUGUGUGUUGGCAAGUUUCGUGAAGUGAGUAGGAGUCUUGAAGGAUCGGUGCGUAUCGUCGAAGAUCGAAGAAUCCAAGACUUCGAAGAGAUUGGAAAAUAACUCACGACGUGAAUCACGAUGCUCAGGUAAAGUUUUAAUUCAUGUUUUGGUGAUUCAUACUUAAUUAUAGACAUUAGAAUUAUAUAAUCAAAGUUUAGUGGAUUAGAAAGUGUAUUGGAACUUUGCGAAACCUGAAACGUGAAAAAAAUCUGAAUACACUAUGUACGGGUACACACUGAAAGUGUUACUGGUUACAAACUGUGUACGGGUACAACCAUCAACGUGUUACCGGUUACAAACUGUGUACGGGUACAACCAUCAACAUGUUACCGGUUACAAGGCUGUUUUGAUUUUCUGUUCCGUCAUCGUGUACCGAUGACAGCCUCACGUGUACCGGUACAUAAUGCAAAUUUCGGGAAAAACUUUCUAAUCCGACUCCAAUUGAUUCUAAAGUCUAUAAAUAAGCUAUUGGGGUUCUCUAACAUAUCAAGCAUCACGAAAAUACAUGUUUGAGAAACCCUAGAGGCUCGGAUUUCAUCUUAAACCUAUUUUCUACAUAUUAGCCUCUUUUAGGUCAAAUCGAGAUAUUGGAAUUUCAUAUCUAUAUGUCGAUUUGAUCUUCGCUUCGCUUGUUGUUCUCUUCCCUGGUUUUCAUCGAUACUCUAAGCGAAGGAUCACCAUACACAUGAUGUUCUUCAUGACGGCGUCGUGGAUUCGGCGUGAUUGACGGCGGUUCNNNNNNNNNNNNNNNNNNNNNNNNNNNNNNNNNNNNNNNNNNNNNNNNNNNNNNNNNNNNNNNNNNNNNNNNNNNNNNNNNNNNNNNNNNNNNNNNNNNNNNNNNNNNNNNNNNNNNNNNNNNNNNNNNNNNNNNNNNNNNNNNNNNNNNNNNNNNNNNNNNNNNNNNNNNNNNNNNNNNNNNNNNNNNNNNNNNNNNNNNNNNNNNNNNNNNNNNNNNNNNNNNNNNNNNNNNNNNNNNNNNNNNNNNNNNNNNNNNNNNNNNNNNNNNNNNNNNNNNNNNNNNNNNNNNNNNNNNNNNNNNNNNNNNNNNNNNNNNNNNNNNNNNNNNNNNNNNNNNNNNNNNNNNNNNNNNNNNNNNNNNNNNNNNNNNNNNNNNNNNNNNNNNNNNNNNNNNNNNNNNNNNNNNNNNNNNNNNNNNNNNNNNNNNNNNNNNNNNNNNNNNNNNNNNNNNNNNNNNNNNNNNNNNNNNNNNNNNNNNNNNNNNNNNNNNNNNNNNNNNNNNNNNNNNNNNNNNNNNNNNNNNNNNNNNNNNNNNNNNNNNNNNNNNNNNNNNNNNNNNNNNNNNNNNNNNNNNNNNNNNNNNNNNNNNNNNNNNNNNNNNNNNNNNNNNNNNNNNNNNNNNNNNNNNNNNNNNNNNNNNNNNNNNNNNNNNNNNNNNNNNNNNNNNNNNNNNNNNNNNNNNNNNNNNNNNNNNNNNNNNNNNNNNNNNNNNNNNNNNNNNNNNNNNNNNNNNNNNNNNNNNNNNNNNNNNNNNNNNNNNNNNNNNNNNNNNNNNNNNNNNNNNNNNNNNNNNNNNNNNNNNNNNNNNNNNNNNNNNNNNNNNNNNNNNNNNNNNNNNNNNNNNNNNNNNNNNNNNNNNNNNNNNNNNNNNNNNNNNNNNNNNNNNNNNNNNNNNNNNNNNNNNNNNNNNNNNNNNNNNNNNNNNNNNNNNNNNNNNNNNNNNNNNNNNNNNNNNNNNNNNNNNNNNNNNNNNNNNNNNNNNNNNNNNNNNNNNNNNNNNNNNNNNNNNNNNNNNNNNNNNNNNNNNNNNNNNNNNNNNNNNNNNNNNNNNNNNNNNNNNNNNNNNNNNNNNNNNNNNNNNNNNNNNNNNNNNNNNNNNNNNNNNNNNNNNNNNNNNNNNNNNNNNNNNNNNNNNNNNNNNNNNNNNNNNNNNNNNNNNNNNNNNNNNNNNNNNNNNNNNNNNNNNNNNNNNNNNNNNNNNNNNNNNNNNNNNNNNNNNNNNNNNNNNNNNNNNNNNNNNNNNNNNNNNNNNNNNNNNNNNNNNNNNNNNNNNNNNNNNNNNNNNNNNNNNNNNNNNNNNNNNNNNNNNNNNNNNNNNNNNNNNNNNNNNNNNNNNNNNNNNNNNNNNNNNNNNNNNNNNNNNNNNNNNNNNNNNNNNNNNNNNNNNNNNNNNNNNNNNNNNNNNNNNNNNNNNNNNNNNNNNNNNNNNNGACAAGGCUUCAUCUUCGAAGCAUAAAUCUUUUUCUAAACAAUCUUCAAGUUCUAAAUCUAAGGAUAAAAAACUUGCAAAGUCUUCGAAAGAAAAAGAUGAAUUUGAAGGCGAAAUUCAAUGCUACAAAUGUAAAGACUACGGUCAUAUUGCAAUGGAUUGUCCUUCAAAGAAGUCUUAUAAGCAAAAGGCUUUGCAAGCUAAGACUUGGGAUGAUUCUUCUUCUAGUGAAUCAUCUUCAAGUGACGAAGAAAAGAGUGAUCACAUUGCUUUAUUUACUAACACUUCUCUACCUUCGUCUAACGUUGUUUGUUUAUCCUCAAUUGUUUCUAAUUCCAAUGUUUCUCUCUUCGCAUGGGUCUUCGAGUGACAAUGGCGAAAGCGAGGAGGAGUCGAACGACGAGGAUAUAGCGGAAGCAUACAAUCAACUUCUUAUUGAUUUGAAAAAGAUGACCAAGCUCAAUAAGAAGUUGAGGCGUCGUUUAUUAGACAUUGAAGAGGAAAACAAAAAUUUGAAGACAAUGAAUAAAGCUCUUGAGGAGGAAAAGGAAUCGAUUUCUAAGAAUAACUUAAUCCUCCAAGAGAAACUUGAUGAAGCGGAAUCAACAAUCAAAUCGUAUAAAGACAAGGUUGGAUUUUUGGAGCAACAAUUCGAGGAAUCGCAUACAUUCAACAAGUUAUUGACCAAUCAAGUUCGUCAACUUCAAUCCGACGUACAAAAAUUCUCUUCCGGUUCAAAGAAAUUAGAUCAUAUGCUCGGAUUAGGUUAAACGAACAAGUUGGGUCUCGGCUAUGAACGAACGUACGUUGAGAAGGAUUUAACGACAACUACUAAAGUCUCAACAACUUUGAAAGAGAAGGUGUGUCAUAAAUGUGGCAUCAAAGGACACAUCAAAAGGAGUUGCCCGAACAAGACAAAGAAGAAUCAAUUGGCAACUUCGCAACGUCAAUCGGCAUCAUCUACAACUCAGCUUCCCCCACGGAAUCAAAAGAAAAAUCAGUUGAGUCGAGCACCUUGAGGGAAUCGGAUUUCUAAUGCACAACAUCAAGUCCAACAAAACCCUCAAGCAAAUCGGAUUUGUAGCGCACAACGUCAACGCCAAGUUCAUGCAAACCGGGUGUCUAAGCUUCAACGACAAGUUCAACCGAAGCCUCAAGCGACGAAACGACCAACGGUUGAUCAAAAAUCAAAGCAAAUUGUGCUUAACGUCGACAAGACAAGACAACACAAAAUCCAACAAGUUUGGAUUCGGAAAGGUGAUAUCUUUCCUUGUUCUACGUCUUAUUCGUUUUUGAUUUUUUUGUAAAUGCUUUGAUUGGUGCUUGAAUUUUAUUUAUUUUUGAGGAAAGGUGUUUGGGAAUUUAAAAUGUUUCUUUGAGGAAGGAGACGAUUGAAAAUCUUUAUUUUGGGGAGAUUAGAAUUUUUCAAAGUGUUUUUAACCGGAAUUCAUCUUGAAUUAAAUUCAUAUUAAUUAUCGGUUUUACUCCACUAUUUAUUAUUUUGACGAUAAUUGAUUAUAUGAAUUCUUAAUACAUAUAUUCAACAAAAUUUUCAAAUCAUUUUGAUCUUUUGGUGAUUAAUUCAUCUUGGUUGUGUGUGUUGGAUAUGAUGGAUGGAUAUUCACUAAUCGACUAAAUUUUUGUCAAAAUUACUUUCAACUGUGAGAUUGUCUAAUUUAGGGAGAGUUUUUUUUUUUAAUUAUUUUUUUAAAAAAAGAAAAUGAUACUCCUACGUUUAAAAGAUGUGGAAAGAGUUAUAUCCUAAAAAGAGUGUGAAAACUACCACCACAUGUAGGAAAGAGCUGCCACCCCGGUCGUCCGGUAAGUGUGUGAAGCUAUCACAUGGAAUUUAAUUGAAAAACAGAAAAGGUUGAAAAAAUUGAAUAUUUUAGAAUUUUCUGUGUUAUAAGGUGUUAGUUUGAAAAAGAUGCUCAAAGAGCCACCUCCGGUAUCAUAUUAGUUAAAUCUCUAUUUUGAACGUGUUGCGACAAAUUGAGGUCAAUUUGUUUGAAUUUCUAAAAAUCAAUUUUUCGUGAACCAUUACAUCUUGAUGAUUUUGAAACAUUAGGUUAUUUCUGAUAACAAAAUUUUGAUGUUUCGAUGUAUUUUGAAAUCUUAUAAUAUUUUACCUUCAUUAUAAUGAUUUUUGGAGUAAAAUCCUUAAUUUGUAUGAAAUUAAUUUAAGUUUGAAGAUUUUUUGAUGGAAAAUUUUCAAAAUUUUUUGAAUUCUGAGAACUGUUAACCGGUUCAUUCGUUUGUUUCUCUCCCAAAUCCGAAAUCAAAUCGCUCUCUUUCUCUCUCUAAAAAUUCCUAUAUAUUUUCUAGUAUGUUUUCUAGUGUGUUUUCUCUCUAUAUGCUCUGUUUUGGCAAUUUUUGACAAAAACAGGGAGAAUAUAGAUGUACAAGUAUUGAUCAAAAGAGGGAGAGAAAAUUGAAGAACAAAGGGGGAGAAGAGGAGAAGAAAAGAACUUCGAGGACAUUAACAUUGAAGGUAUAAGAAUGACUAAUAUUUUGUUUUUCUACUUUGUUUUUGGAUAAAUUGUUUUGCAGGAAAUCAAGACCUCAAGACUCCUAGUUGCGUCUAAAUCAUAGAGUCUGUUUUAGGAGUUUUGAUGUACUUUUGUGUUUUAUAUUGUAUUUGGAUCACAUGCGAGGGGUUCAAUAUUUUGGUGAUGACAAUUGAACUUCGUUUUUCUUUAAGAUAUAAUUUUUGAGUAGUUGUGAGUUUUGUCACGAAAUUGCCAAAGGGGGAGAUUGUUAAGUCUUGUAUGUUGGCAAGUUUCGUGAAGGGAGUCGGAGUCUUGAAGGAUCGGUGCGUAUCGUCGAAGAUCGAAGAAUCUAAGACUUCGAAGAGAUUGGAAAAUAACUCAAGACAUGAAUCACGAUGCUCAGGUAAAGUUUUAAUUCAUGUUAUGGUGAUUCAUACUUAAUUAUAGGCAUUAGAAUCAUAUAAUCAAAGUUUAGUGGAUUAGAAAGUGUCUUGGAACUUUGCGAAACCCGAAACGUGAAAAAAAUUUGAAAACUACACUGUGUACGGGUACACACUGAAAGUGUUACCGGUUACAAACUGUGUGCGGGUACAACCAUCAACGUGUUACCGGUUACAAACUGUGUACGGAUACAACCAUCAACAUGUUACCGGUUACAAGGCUAUUUUCAUUUUCUGUUCCGUCAUCGUGUAUCGUUGACAGCCUCACGUGUACCGGUACAUAAUGCAAAUUUCGGGAAAAACUUUCUAAUUCGACUCCAAUUGAUUCUAAAGUCUAUAAAUAAGCUAUUGGGGUUAUCUAACAUAUCAAGCAUCACGAAAAUACAUGUUUGAGAAACCCUAGAGGCUCGGAUUUCAUCUAAAACCUAUUUUCUACAUAUCAGCCUCUUUUAGGUCAAAUCGAGAUAUUGGAAUUUCAUAUCUAUAUGUCGAUUUGAUCUUCGCUUCGCUUGGAGUUCUCUUCCCUGGUUUUCAUCGAUACUCUAAGCGAAGGAUCACCAUACACAUGAUGUUCUUCAUGACGGCGUCGUCGAUUCGGCGUGAUUGACGGCGGUUCGUGCAUUCGGAUCGUGAGCUUCGUGGAUUCGAAGUGGAGGCGUUUCGUGGAUUCGGAACGUGGGGUUCGUGGAUUCGAACGUGAGGGCGUGGACAACCCGGAGGAUUGCGCAAGAUUCAUAGGAGGUUAAGAGAGGUUCAGUCCGUGGAGUCGGUAAUCACCUUGUAAUCUUUUCUCUUAGUGAAUUAUUUUUUCGCGUGUUGGUCCCGUGGGUUUUUUACUCCAAGUUGGAGUUUUCCCACGUAAAUCUCGGUGUGAUUUUUAUUUUCUGCAUUUAUUUUUAUCGUAUUGAGAUUUGUGGUUUUUGUCUUUUACACCUAUUCACCCCCCCCUCUAGGUGUUAGAUACAAUCUAGAUAGAUCCUUGGGCUUCUCAAAACUUUCAGAGACACGCUUGCAUAUUCGAUUGGGUCGCUCCCACGAGUGCCACUCCGGAGUGAGGCUUUAUGUCACGCCCCGCGACUGCCAAUUUGGUCGGUUCGGGCAUGUCAUCAGACGUCGGACGGAUAGCACCUCCCCUGUCCGCCCAAGGCUCUACCAACGCAUGUAUAACAUAGCAAUUCAAACAAAAAGAUUGCAAGUAUACACGACUUGCACGAGGGCAAGCAACAACCACACGAGUGAAAGUAAUCUAACUAUUACAAUCAUACAUUGUAACUUGAUCAUUUUGAAUCAAAUACAAAGCUUAUACAUUUCCUUUACAUCCAUUCAACCAAUAUACAUAUUCAUCUCUCAAAUGAAUUAAUUACAUUUCGUACACAUUUUACAUUCAUCGACAUAAUAGAUGAAAUAUACAUAGGGUGCCUCUAUACACAAUGGUAGUACGCUACCUAGAGCACGAUAAUCAUGUCACGAGCCAUGAUCGCCCUGCUCGCACUAGAACCUGCAUGGUUAGUGGGAUGAGAACUACAACAAAGUUUCCAGUGGGUUCAGCCGCCGACCCCGCCGACUCGCCCACUAGGUCUACUCAGGCAUAUGUAAGAAAAGGAUAGAUAGAUUGCAAACCAACUAAUGCGAAGCUAUUACAAUGCCUGAACAAUAAUAAAUCCAACAAGUAAGAUAAUCAUAAUGACAAUGCAUGCAUGCUUUUCCACAUUCACUUUUCUUGGCUUUUAUCCAAUCAACCCGGUUAACACUUGUUAACCCCAAAACUCACAACCCAAAAUCCCUAUCGAUCGAGGGAACUUUACCACGCCCGAGGAAACUUUACCACGCCCGAGGGACAGUCUUCUGGGAGGACUUUACCUCGACCAGUGGUGACCAACUCUGAAGCGCACCGCUCGAGCGGGAGCUACCUCCUUCAAGCCAAGACUCAAUGUGAGUAUCAAUCCAAUCCUCAAUUUGAGGACGUAUAGCCACACUUGCUAUAUUGCCAUAAUGCAUAAAAGGAUUUUACCUUGUCUAGUAUGUCACAUACUUGGCCACACUUGCCACAAUACUCACUAUUGUUAUAGUUCAACAUUUAUCAAUGCCCAUAAUGUUUACUAACAUUAUAAUCCAACAUCUCACAAUGCUCUUAAGGUUUUACCUUAUCCAGCAUACCACAUAUUUCAUAUCUACUAAUGUCAAUAUUACCUUUGUUUACUACAGUCAUAGUCCACAUUCAUUUCAUACAUUCAUAGGGUUCACAUGCAUGGUCCACUAAUCAAUUCAUACGUUCACCAACAUUGAAAGCAUAUACAUGAUUUCCAACCAUAGCCCAAUACCCUACAAUGCAGGAAUGUCAUAACACACAUAUAUGCUCAAGAAAAGGCAACAAAGACAUAGAAGAAAAUUCAACGAUUCCGGAUAGCACCCCCACAUGUAGUGAUGCUAGAAGACCACGACUCAAGUCCCGCAAUUUUUGGACACCAAUUUCUCUCGACUGCGGCAAACGAAGCCAAAACAGGCUUUUUCUCCAAUAUCUCCGCAUAGACUCGUCAGAUCGCCGAACCGAGUUCACCAACGCAUUAGAUUACCUAGCAAUUAGGGUUACAAGAGAUCAAACUCAAGUUAGAUCUCAAUUUUACAAAACCCCUAAAUUUAACCCUAAGCUUAUCAUCUUUACAAAAUAGCCCCAUAUUCAUGGAGAUCCAUGAACCAUUCCACCAUAGCAUCUUCUAAAUGCAACAAUUAGAAGAAAUUAAGCAAACCCUAACACCAAAACCCUCAAAACAUAGGAUACUUAUCUCAAAACGAAGCUUUCUUCCAAGCUAGGGCUUGCACAAGAAGGUUCAUCUCCACUAAGCUAGUCUUCUCCACCAAAACUCCACCAUUGGAGAUACCCAAGGAGAGAGAGAGGGAAAUCUAGAGAGAAAAAGAGAACUCUCAUUGUGUUGGGUUGAGAGGAAAAUGAGAGCUAACCCUAAGUCACCCUCAUAUAAACACUCUCAUAUGGCCUAAUUGCACUUAGCCCCUCCAAAUAACAGAGUUACUCAACUCUGCAGUUUUUCGUGCACGGGGUCCGGACCCUCCAUGUAGGGUCCGGACCCCGAGAGCACUAAAAUUCUGAAAAUUUCAGAAUUCAGUCCACCAGCUCUCCAAGGUCCAAACACCUCUCUAAAUCAUUCCGGAGCGUCCGGAAUGCGUAACGGACCACUCCAACUCGUCCGCAACCAUACUUCGGUCAAUUUUGAUGGAAGUUCAGUACAACUUAUUGGGGACACGGCAUGUUACGCUUUACUUGCGUUGAUGUCACAGCAGUCCUGUUUGGACGGUAUUCUUGGACCGGCCAUUCCCGUGGGUGGUGUGCGGUGUAGCUUGGGUACAGGUUGGAUUGGCCAGUUGGUGGUCCGUUGAAAUUGGGUCAGUGUGAUUGAGUUGUAGCUAGUGAUGCAUUCCUAUAUCUAGCGAGAGCAUGGGUUGGAUAGAGGUAGUCUAGUCAGACAUAGCUGUAGAGUUUCUUCCAGCUUAUUUUAAUAUCCUUUGCAUACCUUUGCUAUAGACUUAGUAGAUAGGCCGUUGGGGUCGGUGACGGUACCCACUGUGGACUACUCUAUUUUGUAGUAGUUCUCACACCCAGUUGUUGCCACUUUUUUGCAGAGCCGUCCACUGCUGCUGCUGUUGAUUCUGACUGCGGUAAGGGAGUCGUGAGUUAGAUCCCUACCUUUCCUGGUCAUUGUGCUAGAGGAGUAUCCCCCUUUCAGAGGUAGUUUUGGGGUGUUACCAUGUACAUACUGUUAUGUUCUGUUGUACUCUCUGAGUCGAGGUUGUAUUUUGGAUAUUGUAUGUACAGUGGGCUUAGUAUGUUUUUAUAUAUAUAUUUCUGGUUUAGCAGCUCUGUGCUUUGGUUGUAGCUCCUAUCUAUUUGCAAGUAUAGCUAUCGCUUUGUAUACACGGAAAAUUUCUUUAUAUACGGCGGAUGUCACACCCGGGCCCCAGCAGAAGCCUGCCCAGUGCGUGCCUAGACCCGCCAUAUGCCAGCAAUAUAUAAGGUGUAAGAACUGAGAUUUUGGCAAUGUAACUAAACUAUCUGUUAUGAUGUUUUUGUGUGUAAUUUAAUUACAUAAGAACUCGUCAAGUUUUAGGAGAAAAUGAGUUAGAAUGGAGAAGUUACGCGAUAAAUAGUUUUCACUUAAAGUGAAUAGUAACUCCGGUUUUUUGGAGAGGCUGAUGAGUAGAGUUGGUUUCUGGAGUGUACCGGACUCCGUUCAUAACGAUCCAAUAGCUUAUUUCGAUCAGUUCAGCUAUUCUGGAACCAAUGGCGUUGACGGAUUUCAGAUCUGACGCACGGAUUUUGAGAAAUCUAAAAAUACAUGUAUUAUAUGUAUUGGUGCGUAGUUUUGAUAAUUGGAGAGUGGAUGGAUUUCGUCACAAAACGGCGAUCAUAUCGGGUGAAACGAAAUUGUGAGUUCGAUGCCCCAAUCGUACUGAACACGCUGGCGCAGUCCGUUCGAUAAUCCGAAGGGCGGAUCGGUAGAUAUCACACGUUUAUCGAGGAACGAUCCAAUGGGUCAUUUUCGUAUUUCGUGGGAAACCCCUAUAUUUUAUGUAUCGAAUCGCUUGAGAUCGAACGUUGAGGUGGGUUUGCACGAAAUACUCAUACUGUGAAGGACCCAGUAUGAAAGUUUGAGUUUUCGGAGACUUUUGCGUGAUUUAGCGACUUGUAUUUAUAAGCAGCUAGGGUUUUCCAAGCUAACCCUAACCCUAGGCUGCCGCAUCUACCUCAUGCGUGCUCGGGCCGAGCCCAAGCCUGUUCUUGACCCGCGUGCUGCCUCCACCUCUGGGAUGGUCGCGCCUCUCUUCUUGGACUCCGGCAACCCAUCGUCACCGUCGCCGCCAUCCCCGUGGGCCCUCGGUGGCCGCCCUAGCUCCAUGCAGCCAUCCCGUGCAGAGUUGGGCCAGCCGAGGUGGUCUUGGUCUCCGCGCAUCGCCGCCGCCCACCCUCGGUCCCGCUGCCCUCCUCUGACCUCAGGCGACCUACCGCGCGCGUCGCCGCCAUUCCCACAGGCCGUCGCCGUGGUCGCCGCUGCUCUCUGUGCCCGAGCCGAGCCCAUGCGGGCUCGGGAUGCUCCAGCGCCGUGACGGCCACCUCCAGCUGCCGGCCGGGGUGAGCGCCGCCUCCCUUGGGUCGGCCGCACUCGUCAGCCGCCGGCGCCCCUGUCGCCGAAGCUCCUGUCGGCCAGAACUAGGCCGAACUCGCCUCGGGUUACCUUGGCUAGGGCAUCAUGGCCAGCUGCCGCCGCCGCCUCUCACCACCGGCCAAUGCAUGCCUGGGUACCCUUUGACGGCCUCAGCCUCCCCCUGCCGGCGCGCCCGUCGCCGUGCCGCCGCCGGCCACCCUGUGCUCCACCAAGCUCCGGUAAGCUGUAAUUACUGUCCAGCACACUGUUUGGGAUUUUCGGUCACCUUUCCCGUGAUCCUAAGGCACCCCAAUGAUUGUGGAAGUGAGCACGAUCAUCCUUCUUUCAUGCUGGACAUCGUACUCACCUCUGUUGGGAUCAACGGUGCCCCGGUUUGCGCGUUAGAAGCUUUCUAUUCGCUGUGUGCGCUGUUUCGCAGAUCGUCGUGUCGCUCGUGCACUUGCCACAAGGGUCGGCAAUGCUCCGAAAGGUGAGCACGGCCUACGGCACGCCGAGACCUGUCAGUAGGUGUCUCGGCUUGGCUGAAUGACCCCUGGUUUAUGUUGUCGGAGCAUAAAAGCCCAGAAAUCACAUAAAAUAAUGCGAUUUCAUGAAAUCAGGAGGGCUUUUAUGUAAAUGUGUUGUUUGUGGUUGUUGUUGGCAGCGUGUGUGGGCAGUAGGUGACCUCUGGACUGAUUGUCUAAGGCCCCAAGCCUCUGCGAAAAUCGGAAAGGGAUUUCCGGUGCGUUUGUCGGCAAAAUCUACUGACGGAACGUGUUUUCGGUUCGGAAUUCUUCCGACGGCGCCUUGUGAGCUAUUGUUAUGUCGCUGAGCCUUGUUGGCUAGUCACCCGCGUUGUUUCGAGUGUUCGGGAACGGCGGGUGAGCGACGAUGGGUUCCGAUGUCGAAAUAGACACUUUCGGGAACCCAGAUCCGAACGAUUAUCCGACGAUAAUUGUUUGGAGGCGAGGUUUUGUGUUUGCUGCCAUGUCAUACUAAAAUAAGUGUUUAGUGGCAGCGGGUGACUCGUAGUACUAAUCGGUGUUUUCCGGGACGGUUCGUGGAUCCCGGUGGAGUCCCAGUGCUGUUUUCGGGACUUCCGGUGAGUUCGGCAAUCAGUUUUAGGAAACUGACUCCCGUAGAUAUAAUUAUGGGGUUAUGUGUUAGUGUUUUAUAUUUGUAGGUUAGAUACUAACCCGGUGGACCCUCCGUAGGUCCAGUUUACGAUCUUUCGCAGUCACGAGACAGACGCGACAUUCGUACAGUUGGGUACUUCGAUCCGAUGUCGGUACAGUGGUGCACAUUCGGUGAUGGUUUCUUACCCUUGCUCUCUUAUUAUAAUCCGUGCUUAUACUAUAUGUUGAGCCUAGCACCCACGUUGUUUGGUUAUACUCUACUUAGAUAUUUUCAUGCUUAGUAUCAUGUGUAGGAGUAGAGUAGUUUAUCUAUAUGUGAUACCAUGUUUUCUUAUUGUUCUACUUGCCUGUUCUACAUAUCAUGUAUCAUGUCUAGAGUAGAGCGGUUUCGUGACUAUUUGUGAGAUGGUGACCUAGUCGGUCAGUGCAUUGUAUCUGUUUUCGUGACCUGAUUGGUCGGUCGUUGUAUCUCGUGUCGGUUCCUUGACUUCUGUCGUCGAUGACCGUUGAGGUCGGUGUAUCCUGAGGGGUUGGAUUGUCGGCUAAUGGCUGACGGUAGUUCUGAAUUCUAGUGAUACAUGAUGUGACAUUCGUGUGACCUAUUGGUCAGUUUUUGAGUAUACAGUUAGUUGACAUUGAGCAGUACUUGCAUACGUUGAGAGGAUGUUGAGUUGUUCCAUCCUAGUUGACCUGAGUGGUCGGUUCUUGUGUUCCUCACGAUUCGAUGGCCCAUACGGUCAGUUUACCCUGAAGGGUUAGAUUGUCGGCUAGUUGCCGAUGUUUGGCUUUUGAGCAUAUCAGCAUCGAUCGCCACUGCUCGUGCGCAUUUCACGAACACCAGCGGUCUGAUCCAUCGCAAAAGGGUGUUCUUUUCCGAAAAAGUGGUUGCUAGUGUCAAUCCGUGAGCCCAAGAGGGGUUAUAUGCUUUCAGCCUGAGGUGUUGCGGACCAAUACGGCUUGCCUGAGGUGUUGCGGACCAAUACGGCUUAUUUCUGUUUAGAGCAGUUGUGGCAUGGGCCUGAGGUGUUGCGUAACAAUACAGCCGUUCCAGAUUGGGUAUAUUUGGUCUAUACGUCCGGUUGACGCAUAUGUCAAUAGUAGUAGUUGUUGCAUGCAUACUUACAGUUCUUUUCAUAUACUUGUCUUGCUACUAUAGUUUCGAUACCUAUGUAUGCAUUCAGUUCUUCUUUAUAGUAGCGGUAGUUGUUCUUACAUAUCCUGUUUAUGUAUUAUCGUUGCUAUUGUACUUAGUAUAUUUGCUCAUGAUCUUAUUUAUCUCUUCCUGGUCUGGUGAGUACUCCUCGCCUUCAUCAGCUUGCGGUACCCACUGGGAUGGGAGACAUGUUUACAUGUUCUCACCUCCCCCACCAUUUUUCAGGUAUUGCGGGCGGUGAGAGUUGAGACGAGACGUGAGACACGUUCGUAGCGGUCGAUAGAGCUUCCGACCCGGUUGGGUUGGUUUACUUACUACCCCUUUACUUCUGUUGAUAUAUGACUUAGAUAGUUAUUUGAUUCAGUUGUUAUUACUUAUGAAUUCACAUGGUUUCAUGAAAGUAAUAAAAGAAAUUGUGGAUUUUGUGAAUUGGAAAAUAAUUUUCUACCCCUCGUGGUAGUGUUUUAAAAGAAAAAGCGUUUCCGUGUAGGAAACAGAUUUGAAAAAGAUAUUCUUAUGGUUUUCAUAAACUAGUAUUUCAAAAUGAGUUUCCGAGUAGGAAACAUUUAAACUAAUAGUUAUGGAUUUCUAAAUAAACCCUGAAUGUGAUUCUGUGGUGAAUGGUGUAUAAAUAUGAAUGUCUUUAUGUUCAGUUGUGGUUGUAUUCUGUUUGUAUCUUGUACUUGUACGACGCCGUGCAAAUACAGGGGAGACUCUGUCCGUGUGAAUAGUGGACUCCCUGUAUUUAUGGCGGAUCUGGCAUACCCUGGGGGUCAGGUUUUCAAAAAAAAAUUCCACUGUGUUUUUAGACUACAAAAAGACCCUGGGGCGUGACAUAAGGCGUCUACAACAAUACUAUAAAUAAAACGAGAAUAUAACAACAACUAGUAUGGUAUCAGAGCAUGAAUACAACUAAUAUCUAAAAACAAGUGGAAAGUAGAACUGAACAACUAUAUAUUAAAAAAAAAACUUCAAGUAGUACAUACAACAUGAGAAAAAAAUCCACAUAAAAGGAAACUAAAUACAAAAAGGUGGUCACUAAAUAUCGGGCACAACACAUCCCUCUCCAAUAAGGACAAAAGGAGAGAUGAUCACCUAGCAGAUACUCCAAGUUAAGACUAGUUAAUGUGACCCCCUUGUCGCGAUUCCUAGCCACUCCUGGCAUGGAUGGCUCUAUAAACAAAAAUAUCAACAACAUGAGAAUGAGAACUAUUAGUCAAUAGUUCCUAGUGGGCAAGCCGUCGACAUCAGCGAAAUACACCACUAGGUCAUCGAAGCAUGAGUAGUAUAUAAAGGAGUAUGAAAUGGACAAUAUGAUAUUAUUAAGCAGGUAAUAAACUUCUAAGCUACUAUGCCUCCAAUUAACAUAAUGUGUCACAUAUAAUACAAUUAUUCUAUCAUUAAUGAAUAUGUCCAACAAGUCCAACUAAUAUGCAUGUCCAAAAAGUCCAACUGAUAUGCACUAUCUAGUAGUGGUUUCCACAUUAUACUUUUUAAAUGUCAUUAUUCAGUUCCAACUGGGACCUACGCAAGUUUAGUCCGGCUUGCACCACCUAAUGGCCCCGUGGUAGUCCAACAUUCUCCCUCUAGUAAUGAGCCUGUCCCACGGCGACCCAGUAGGUUGUUUGAGUUAAAAAAAAAAAAGAGGGAAGAAACCGAUACAUAUAUAGUAUAUAUAUAUAUAUCAUAUAUAUAUAAUAGUAUUAUUAUAUAUAUUAUGUAUAUAUAUAUAUAAUAGAUAUAUAGUAUGAGUGAGUAUAUAUGUAUAGUAGUAUAUAUUAUAGCAUAUAUAAUAUAAUAUAUAUAUAUAUACAUAUAUAUAAAUAUACAUAUAUAUAUAAUGUAUAUAUAAUAUAUAUGUAUAUGUUUUUAUAUAUAUUGUAUAUGUGUAUAUAUAUAUUUAUCAUCAUAUACAUAUGUAUAUGUAUAUAUGUAUACAUAUGUAUAUGUAUAUAUACAUAUGUACUAUAUAUAUAUAUAUUAUAUUAUAUAUAUAUAUAUAUAUUAUAUAAUAUAUAUAUCAUAUGUAUACAUAUUUCUGUUACAUUAUACUAUACAUAUUAUGCAAUAUAUACAUAUGUAUAUAUGUAUAUAUCACAUAUACAAAUAUAUAUUACUACCAUAAUAAUGAUAUAUAUACUAAUAUAUUAUUGUAUAGGUAUUAGAUAUAUAUUGUAUGUAAUAUAGUAUAUAUGUAUAUCUAUAUGUAUAAUAUAUAUUAUAUAUUAUAUAUAUAUUAUAUAUGUAUUAGAAUAUUUAUAUAUAUAUAUAUAUGUAUAUAUAUAUUUACUAUACAUCAUAGAAUACAUAUAUGUAUAUACAUAUAAUAUAUAAUAUAUAUAUAUAUAUAUAUGUAUUAUACAUAUAUAUAGGAUAGCAUAUAUCUAUCUUUAUAAUAAUACAUACUAUAUUAUAUAUUUUACCAUACAUAUUAAUAUAUAUAUAUAUAUAUAUAUAUAUAUUAUAUUAUAUAUGUUACUACAUAUGUAUUGUACUAUUACAUAUGAUAUAUAACAUAUGUAUAUAUACAGAUACAUAAUGUAUACAUAUAUACAUAUUUAAUAUAUAUACAGAUGUACGUUAUGACAUAUGUAAUUAUACAAUGCUAUAUAUAAAUAUAUAUUAUAUAUAUAUAUAUAUUUAUAUAAUAUAUAGUAUACAAUAUUGUAUAUACUAUGUAGUAUACAUAUGUAUAUACAUAAGCGGGGGAGGGUUGUAGUUAUACAUAGCUAUUAUGUAUAUAUUAUAUGUUAUAUUAUAUAUAUAUAUUAGUAUAUAUUAUAUAACUACAUAGUAUAUAUACAUAUAUAUAUAUGUAAAUAUGUAUAUACAUAUGUAUUACAUAUGUAUAUAUAUAUAUAUAAUAUACAUAUAUAUACAUAUAUAUAAUAUAACAUACAUAUCUAUAUAUAUAGUAUACUAUAAUAUACAUAUAUUAUAUACAUAAUAUAUGUUAUAUAGUAUUACAUAUGUAGAUACAAUAGUACUUAUACAUAUGUUAAUUAUAUAUGUAUCAAUAUUAUAUAUUUAUGUAUAUGUAUAUAUAUAAUAUAUAUAUCUAUAUAUAUAUGUAUAUAUGUCAUAUAUAUUAUGUUAUAUAUGUACAAUAUAUGUAUAUAUGUACGAUAUAUAUGCAUAAUGUAUCAUAUAUAUGUAAUAUAAUUACAUAUAUUAUGUAUUAUGCUAUAUAUACAUAUAUAUAUAUACAUUAUAUACAUAUAUAUAUAUAUAUACAUAUAUAUAAUAUAUAUAGUAUAUAUAUAUAAUGUAUAAUAUAUAUACAUAUAUAAUGAUAUUAUACAUAAUUUAGUACAUAUAUAGUAUUAUACAUAUAUACAUUAUUAUAUACAUAUAUAGUAUACGAUAUAUAUUCACAUGUAUAUACAUAAUUUAUAUUAUAUAUAUAUAGAACCAUUAGAGUAGUUCAUUUCCUACUUAGAAUUCGAAUCUAAAAAAUAAAAAAAAAAUUUAAAAAAAAUAAAAACAAUUAAUAUAUAUAUAAUAUAUCUAUUAUAUAUAUAUUAUAUAUAUAUAUUAUAUUAAAACAGAGAGAAAUGACAUUAAAAAAAGAGAAAGGAAACGUACAGGUGUAAGCAUGAAAUUCAGCUUAAGUUAAUCUGUGGAUCAAGGGUCGCCCAAUAAUGCUAAAAUGGAAAUUAGGCGUCCUAAACUUAAUUAGAAGCCUAGAUCAGCCUUGGCCAUUUUGCAAGUUGUUAAAUAGAUAAGAAUGGAAUUGGACAGUGGCUAAAGAACUGCCAAUUGUCAAUUACAACUCUGACAAGCUAAAUUUUAGUCCGAUUUGUUUAUCCAUAUUUAUUCAAAAGUGAUAAAGCGAGUUUGCCUUCCAAAUUAAAUUGUGUAGCUGGAUAAAGUCCCUUGUAUGUUUUGAAGUUUUGAGGGAAUCGACUCAAAACAGUUAGAAUUGGAAUUUUCUUUAAAGACGUGACUGAGAAAUUUAGCAGAAAAUGCUACUAAGGUCAGAAAAUUAUGAAAUAUUGUGCGGAAUGUCAGACAUAAUGUUCAUGAGGUUAGAUUAAAGUGUUGCAGUUAUUCUGACACUCGUAGAGAGAGAAAUGAUCGGCAAGCCUAUCGAUCAAAUUUCAUUCGUGUACGACAGUCGCAGGACCAAAUGGGGUCAGGAGACUGAAAUCUCCUAAAGAUUUUCUUUGGAGCUUACUAUUCAAGGUAAACGAACAUGCACCUUGUCUCAAAAUUUGCAGCUCAACGGACUUUUGGAGAGCUGCGAAAGGAUAUCUAAAUACCGAGCGAGUAUAAAACGAUAAUCAGAGAAGACAUUAUCGGUAAUUACGCAUAGUUAGUGGAAUUCCGAACACUAACCAGCAGGAGACCUACAGCGAUCAACUUAUCCUAAACACUGCACCUUCCCUCCAUACGUAGAAGAGACAGACGAAGAAAGAGAAAAGGAGAGGUAGAAAGAUAGAGAAGAAGAAUAUACAAAAAAGAAGAAGAAAAAAGGUGAGGAUUUAUUUAUUCCAUCCCCCCAAUCAGCCCUCAUUCUGCCUGCUAAAAACAGCAGCAGGCAAGCCUUUAUCCCUGCUGCUAGAAAACGCUCAGCAGCAGUCAGCAGCAGAGCAGCAAUAACAGCCAGCAACUCAGCGCUGCAGGGAAAAGAAAGAACAGAAAGAGAAAGAAAAGAAGUAUCUAAUUAAGGUAAGAUUAGUAUUCUAGUAUUUGGAAUUCAUUGUUAAAUUAGUUGCCUUAGACAACAUGGGGCAAUAUUAGUAAGGAGUAUCCUGCUGUUUAUGAACCUGAAUAGCUUCGAGAAGGUGAAUAUGAUCGAGAAUGAUGUAGCUCAAUCGACAAGAAUCAAGCAGGGAAGAAGGCUUCGACAGCAGGAAACUUAGAUUUGCUAAGAGUAAUACCUCUCUACUUGAUUAAAUCGAUUGAUAAUUGUAUUCACGCUUAUAACUGAGCCUUCGAUGUAAUGAUUUUAUGACAGCUGGGAUGCUGAUAGUCCUGGUGCUGACGAUAAAGAGGGAACAGCUGAAGGAAUAAAGAGAUUCCUAUUUGUUCGAACUGCCGUGAUUGCAGAAAUAGCAACCAUUUGAAGCAUAAGCACUUAAUCAGCGGCUAAUUAAACACGGUAAUUUAGUUAUUACGGGUUCUAGUUAAUGAAUCGCUUCUACGGCAAUGAGACCUAUAUUCGAAAUAUAUAAUUGCCUGAAAAUUUUCAGCAUUUUGAGCUGAAAGGUAGAGCUAUUGUGUAGCAAGUGUAGAUGAGAAUGAAAACUUUGAAGAGUUAAACUCGGGUUAAAUGGAUGCUAAUUCCUGUAUUAAUUGUAUUAACUGCCUGUGAAUAGUUGAUUUAAACAAUUUAAAGUAAUGCAGGAAUAUGGUUAAUGAGAGUGGGUCUUGGAUGCAGCAGAGCGACUAAGUGAUAGCUUCAGCUGAGCACAACUUAGAUAUUGAAGCAAACCUAAAUAAGAUUGACCUGUGCUGAGAGCAAGCAGGUUGCCAUUGUGGAGCUGACCUGUUUAAGAAUCCGGGCUUGUCGGUGGCUGCUGCUGUCUCGCUGAAUUUCUGAACACUCACAUUGAAGCUUGUGGAAUGACAUGUUCAGAGGAAAGGAGAUACACAUGCUAAUAAUGUACUUUAGCUUGAUUCCAGACAUUCCAAUUCGUCACGGCCUAUGGGUUUAAUUGAGCUGAAAAACAAACAAUUGGCAGCCAAAAUUAAUCGUCGAUUCUAAUAUAUCAACAUUGUAAUUGAAUUGAUUAGCUAGAUAUUAAGAGAAUGUAAGUUGAGAAUCGCCAUGGCGAUAACUGAGAUAAACGAGAGGUCGACUUAUAAGUUACGAGCACGUUUAGAAUGAACUGGAAAAAGAAUGCAGACAAGAGCAAAUUUACAGCCAAAAUUUGUAAUAUAAUAAAAGCUGAAAAUUUAAAUUGAUUAAGUAGCUGAAACUUAAAGAGCUAGUUUUGCAAUGGCUGAACUCAAUCUAACAUCCAAGUCCCAGAUGCUCUUCAGCAUGAUCGUUCCGAACCUCCAAUAGCUGAGCUGACAAUUUAAAUAUUCCAUGAAAGUUACUCUUAAGGAUCAAUACUCUAUCUUAAUGUUGAAAGACCAUAUUAGUUCGCUGGAAAAUUUCAGCAUAGUGGAACUUCCCAGUCAUCGGCAGAAAUUCCUCGAGCCCAUGAUGCAAUCUUUAAUCAUGAGCCUGAAAAUAGUCACCGGACCCCAAUGACAUUCGAGGUCAAUCAUGCGCCUAUAAUCCUAGCCUACAGCGGACCGUUAAUUACUCUCUGAAAUCGUACUAUAAUAUUGCUGAAAAUUUGCCUAUAUAUGCUGAAAACCAUAUAGUAUGAUGUACAAAGGAAGUAUAUGCAGAUGAGUUAGGGAUGAAAUUUGGACAAUAAGUACCUAUAUGUUUCUGAAGUAGAUAUAAGGAUACUGCUGUAACGGGAAUGUAUAGUAGGACUGCUCAAGUAUCGACAGCUUCUAUGUCAUCAUGAGCUUAUAAAAUCCAAUCUAGUAUACUAUAGUAUAUGUCUACCGUUGAUACUAUAUAGACUUAAGUGGCGAGUCGAAUGGCUAUACUGUUUAAAAUAUCAGAAUAUUGACCUAUUCUACACCCUUUUAUUACUUCAUAAAUGAAAGUUCUAACUUGUACAAAAGUCUAAUUGACCAUCUCCACACCCGUCGGCGAAGUAUCCCAUUAAAGCCAAUUCGGCUCUCAGUUGAAUUGAGUCCGUAUACUUGUUGCGAAGUCACUUCGAGACUGUUGAUUCUAUUGUAUGACACCACUAACGAGCGGUGGGUGGGGGUGCUAAUCCGAGCGCUUUUGACAUCACCAUUUAUGUCUAUGCAUUUUCAUUGAUCCAUAUCUACCUUGUAUUCACUGCAUCAUAGGUUAAUGACCAUUUAUGCCACCAGUAUAUCUUGAAUAUUGUGAACGCUGUAUUAAUGUGGAGAAAAUGUGAACUCGUAGAUGAGAGUUAGAACCCUAUGAAUGUAUGUAAUAUAACCAAUAAGGAACUUUGGUGACAUUCUAAUUAGAGAUUGUGACCAUCAGAAAAUGAAUUUGCUGAAACUAGCAUCAAAGAACUAUUAAGUAAAGCUUGACAGUGUUUGUCAUAGUGAAUCCUUCUAAAGUGAGAUCAAUCAUAUCUCACCAUUAUGUUUGGUUCAAGUCGAGCGCUCGCUCCAUAACGAUGAGCUCCGGAGUAGUAGUCAUCUUUAACUGGACCAGAGUUGCCGUUCUCCCCCCAGUGACAUCCCCGUCCCGCUGGAGUCCAGCAGGUUGCCGUCUCCCCAUGUUUUGGUAUGUGUCCAGUGAUGAGUUAUUGUUAACAGUGGUUGUUAAAAGCCAAAAAGUUGGUGAAAGUUAAUGACAAGCAGCAUCGCUUACUUCUACAGUUAUAUAUAUGCUUCCUUUCAUCUUGUACAGCAGUCAGUAGUUACAUUCUAAUUUGGUUACUAUCUGUUUACCUUCUUGCUACCAUAUGCCUGAGUAGACCUAGGUGUCGCGCUGAGCCGGCGUCCCCUGUCCUCACCGACCUCUGCCUAAGCCCCGAACCCUCAUCUCGGGAACUUUCUUGUUUAGUUCUCACACACUAACCCAUACAGUUUCAGUCUGGUGAGCUGUUGCUGCGCGAGGAUCGACUGUAAAAGCAGCAGCCCUAGUACGUGGACACCCAGAGUUGAUCCAGUGCCCGUUACCAGUUUGACGUUCAAGUCACUCAAUCUAUUUCGAGCUGUACAGAGAAAUUGUAAAUGAAUUAACUAAGUGCAUUGUAAAUAUAAAUGUUUCAGUUAUGCAAGUUAGUUACAAGCUCUUUCAAAUCUUACCAUGGAUUUUCAUGUUUAGUCCUAGACUUACUAUCCACUUUGCCCCUGCCCUCUUCCUCUCGCCACUGUGGUGCAACCAUAUGCUACUAUUAAAUGUAUCCGGUGAAUUGUUUAUCUCUGCUAUACAUGAGUAUUCCGUGUUGUCUGGCCUUGUUUCGGAACAAGAGAGGUGCUAGUUCGCUACUUGUCGCGUUUGCUUACGAGCCGGAUCCGACCAAAUUGCCGACCCCUACGGGCACUGACCAACAGGCUGUCCUCCAGGCGCGGAAGGCAAUCACCUCCCCCUGAGAGGUACAAGGAUCGACUCACCUCCCUUCUUCACAUGAAUAAAAAAAAAGAUGCAAAAAAACAAAGAAGCACCAGGCCGUUAAAAACAAACAAGGGGGGGGGCGCGAAGAAAGGCAUGUCCACCUCUUUUCCUUCGUCAAACAAAAAAAAAACAAAACCAACAAACAAAUAAACAAACGAGGGGAAGUAUUCAAAAUAAAACAAAAGGAGUAUAAUUAUUUGAUUGAGGUUUGUUUCCUCAAUAAGUUGAUUUUUAAAUUAUUCCCAAAUGGGAAUCAUCUUGGAAUCCUAUAUAAAAUAAGCUCCAAAUUUCGAAAAGGGGUUCGAGAGAUUUUUUUAACAGAAGAAAGAAAAGGGAGAUCCAAAAAAAAAGAAAGAAAAAGAAGAAGAAAGAAGAAGAAGAAAAAAACGAAAAGGGUGAAAAAAUAAUACAUAGUUUUCUCUCUCUCUCUCUCUCUCUUGGGUACAUGCAUGAGAGCCCUUUUGGGCAUGCUGGUAGAGGAGGGGUGCCAUGUGCACCCCACAUCCCUUGUCCGUACCACAACAACAACACAAAAAAAAAAAAAAAGAAAAAGAAAAAGGGCGGGCUUUGGCUCUCCCAUUCGACCUCGACUUCGAUAACGACAAUCACGACGACUUUUACAACAAUAGGAGAUAUGCAUGCAUACGCAUAGCGUAAGUGCGUUUUUUUGUCAAUUUGAUCAACCCGACCAUCUUCGUGAUAGGUUUCGAACCUAUCAAAUUUGACAUUAAAUCGUCACUUCCGCCCUGCGUAUGCAUCGCUAAUCUCUAAAUCGUGUGGCCAUCUUCGCGAUAGGCUCGAUAUGGUCAAAAUGAUUGAUUGAACCGGAUAUUUUACUGCGUAAACCGUGCGGCCAUCUUCGCAAUAGGCUCGACAUGGUCAAAAUGGGUGAUCGAGCAUCGUUCAUUUACUGCGUAAAUCGUGCGGCCAUCUUCGUGAUAGGCUCGACAUGAUCAAACCCGCGUACUUGAACAAAACGUGAUAGAAAAUAUACAAUAAUAAAAUAAUAAUAAAAGAAUAGACGAGAACUAUUUUGAUUCGUCAUCUUCAUUCGAUUCGAUCGUAUUGCUCGACGUGAUAAAUUUCGUAUAUUAAAAAAAAAAGAGACGAAAUUUCAUAUAUUUGGACAAAUUUAAAAAAAAAAAACAAAAAAAAACAGUAAACAAAAAAAGAAGAAAAAAAAGGAGGGCACCCCCUUUUUUCUCUCUCAGUUUCGUACAGAGAGAGAGAGGGACUCCCUCUCCCUCUCUGGCAGCCAACAAAAAAAAAAAAAAAAAAAAAAAAAAAAANNNNNNNNNNNNCUUUAGUUUACAAGCCAAGCCAAAGGCCAUCUCAGCAAAGUUAAAAAGAAAAUGUUUUUUUUAAAAAAACAAAUUAUGAAGAGAGAUGACAAAAUAAAAAGGUGACAUUUAGGUACAAAGAAUCCAAUUCCCCAAAUCCCACCCCAUCUCCUCCUUCCACUCUCCUCCUCAUUAAAUUUCAAAUGUUUGGAAAAGGCCAAUACAUGAGGUCCCCAACUAACUUUGUCCCCCCCCCUCUCUCUCUCUCUCUCUCUCUCUCUCUCUCUCUCUCUCUCUCUCUCUCUCUCUCUCUCUCUCUCUCUCGGUUUCGUACACACAUAGAGAAAGAGAGAGAGAGAGAGAGAGUUGGGUUUCCCUCUCUCUCUCCUGCCAGUCAACAAAAAAAAGAAGAGAAGAAAGAAAAAAAAAGAAAAGAAAGGAAGAACCAACAAAAACAAAAAAAAAAAAGAAAAAAGAAGAGAAAAGAAAAGAAAAGAAAAGAAAACAACAAAUACAAAAAAUCUCUCCCUCGCAACCAACAAAAAAAAAAAAGAACAAAAAAAAAGAAAAGAAUUUGAAGAGUUGGAUUUGAGUUAUUUAAUUUGAAAAUGGUUCAAUCCAUCAUGGGCCCAAUGAACAAACUCUAUAAGUAGUAAAAAAAAAUAAUAAUAAAAUAAAGCACCAAGCUCACAUGCAGAGCCCACAUGCAGAUUCGGGUCCAAGGCCCAGAGCAUAUAAAGUUCAAGACUAAUUUCAGUCCACAUGCAGAUUCGGGUCCAAGGCCCAGAAUAUGUAAAGUCCAAAACCAAUCUCAGCCCACAUACAGAUUCGGGCUCAGAACAUGUAAAGCCCGCAGCCUAUCUCAACCCACAUGCAGAUUUGGGUCCAAAACAAAUAAAAAUUUAAAUGAAUAAAUUUCUUAACCCAAAACCCAAAGUCCACAAAUAAGAUCCAAAACCCAAAAUCCAAAUAUCCAAAAUCCAAAGUCCAUAAAUAAAACCCAACCAAAUCUAUCAAACCUAUGUCAUCCAAGUACCUCCAACCUAAACCGAGUUCUUGGGCUUUCUAAAUGGGCCCUUUAUUAUGAAUUAAUUCCAUGAAUUAAUGGGUUGCCAAAUGGGCCCUCCUAUCAUGAAUUAAUUUCAUGGGUUCUCCAAAUGGACCCUCUUAUUAUGAAUUAAUUUUAUGGGCUUUCCAAAUAGGCCCCCCUAUCACGAAUUAAUUUUAUGAAUUAAUUUCAUAGGUCUGCCAAAUGGACCCUUCUUGUCAUAAAUUAAUUUUAUGAACUAAUGGGCCUUCCAAAUAGAUCCUUAUCAUAAAUUAAUAAACUCAUGGGCUCUCCAAAUGGGCCUUUGUCAUGAACCCGACUCAAUGGGCUUUCUAAAUGGGUCCUCAUCAUAAACUACUUCCAUAAAUCCAUUUUAUGGGCUUUCGAAAUCCCCCCCACACAUCAUGAAUUAAUUUUUUCAAUUAAUUCAAUGGACUUUACAAAUGGGCUCCUAACAUGAAUUAAUUUUAUGAACCAAUUUCAUGAGAUUCGACUCAAACCGACCGCCAUGUCAUUAAACUGCGCAACUCAAUUUAAAAUCGACCGCCAUAUCGCUAAACUGAGCAACUCAAUUUAAAAUCGACCGCCAUGUCGCUAAACUGAGCAACUCAAUUUAAAAUCAACCGCCAUGUCGCUAAACUGAACAUCUCAAUUUCAGUCGACUGCUAAGUCGCUAAACUGAGCAAAUCAAGUUCAAAUAUGACCGUCAAGUCGUUAAACUGAACAAGUGACUAUUAAGUCAUUUAAACUGAACUUUUGACCGCCAAGUCGUUAAACUGAGCAAUUAAAUCAAACCCCUUUGACUGCCAAGUCGUUAAACUGAGCAAUCAAAUCAAACCCUUCUGACCGCCACGUCGCUAAACUGAGCAACUCAAUUCAAAAUCGGCCGCCAUGUCGCUAAACUGAGCACUUCAACUUCAAUCGACCGCCAAGUCGCUAAACUAAGCAAAUCAUGUUCAAAUAUGACCGUCAAGUCGUUAAACUGAACAAAUGACUGUAAAAUCAUUAAACUGAACAUCCGACCGCCAUGUCAUUAAACUGAGCACCAAAACUCAAAUUGACCGCCAUGUCGCUAAACUGAGCAACCCAAUUUAAAAUCGACCGCCAUAUCGCUAAACCGAGCAACUCAAUUUAAAAUCGAUCGCCAUGUCGCUAAACUGAGCACCUCAACUUCAACCGACCGCUAUAUCAUUAAACUAAGCAACUCAACUCAAAAUCGACCGUCAUGUCACUAAACUGAGCAUCUCAACUUUAAUCGACCAUUAAGUCUAUAAACUGCGUAUUUAAUUUUAUAAAAUCUAUGUACAGUGGGGGAAUGCCCCUGUUUAAGCCAUGUACACGGCAAAUUAUAUUAAUAAAAUUUUAUUUGCCUGCUUGGUCUCUUUUAUCAGGAUUUAUAUUCGGUUUCUUAAUCGGGGGUUCCUUAACACUGAAAGUGUGGGGUAAUUAACAGCAGAUUCUUGAGUCUAUUGGAAACCAUGAACCUAUAAUUCUGAUUUCAAAAUAAAACUUAAGUAAACUUAACCUUUACCAUGAAUGACAACUCGCCCUAGAAACACCUACGGCAGGGCCGGUUUGUUCGCGGCAGACAUAGGUACCCAAUCCCGCACGGGCGAACAUGUGUCGCGUAGGCUAGCUCCGGAGCGCUGGCUUGUAGCGAGCAACCCUCACAAGCAUGUGUGAAUAAACACAAUGGCAAGCAAGCAUGAUCAUCCAUCUCAAGUCCUCCGUCAUCAUGUCUAAAAUAUGGUACAAGUACUAGCGACCCAUCGGUCGAUCUCUAUGUCAUAGUGUAAAGGUUCAACCGUUUACUAAGUCAAGUGUCACUAUAUGACAUUAAUGUACACUAUGUCAAGCAUAAGUCAUUUGUCCAUGAGCGCGUAAAACUUGUCAUUUCACUAAAUGAAACAUAAUUUCUAACAAUGUAUAAAGAGUGACAUUCCACAUACAAGUUUACUAUGCAAUUUUUCUCUCUACUACAUAAAGGCUAUAAUCUUGACAUGUAACAUAUAUGUCUUAAGCCUUCAAAAAUUCAUUUAUACUCUAUCUAGCAUAAAUAUGCAUGAUUUUCCAUUUUAAACUGCAAGAAAUGACAUAGGAGAAGUUCACCCAUUUCGGUGAGGUCAAACCCACCGAAUACCUCUCGAAACCCCUUCGUUUGUAUGAACGGAGUUGUCCACAAGCUUUCUAGCUUCCUAACAAAAAUUUAGGGGCUUCGAACGAACACCCCACGAAAUUCCUCAAAAAUCAAGCCAUAAAUAGGUGAAAAAUACCUUAAACGGCUAAAAACUCUCCCAAAGUCCCAAUGAAGGUUAGAAUGCUUCAAUUCCAAUCUAAAUAGAAGUAUUAGAACCACAGCCUCAAAAGCUCUAACAAGAAAAACCCUAAAAUAAAACCCUAGUUUCUCCAUACUAGGUUAAACUCCCAAAAAUCUAUCAAAGCACAAUCUAAAAGAGCAAUAAAUGCUACUAACCUCUGGUAGAGCUUCAAACCAAGCUAGGAAGGUGCUAGGGUUGGAGAUAUUUCCUCAACCAAGGUCAAAGCUUCAAGUCCAAGGCUUCUCCAAGGUGGAAGAACCAUCACCAAGCAAAAAGGAGAAGAAUUUAGAUUUUAAACCCAUGAAAUCUCUCACAAAAAGAGAGAAAAUCUAGAGAGAGGAAGAAAGGGGAACUCACCUUCUUCUUCUCUGGUUCACAGCCGCCCUCAUGGGUGUGUUGGGGAUAUUUAUAGAGAUGUACAAUCUCUGAAAAGCCUCUCAAAAAUAUCUAGUCUGCAACCUGCACUGCGUACCGGUACUCUGGCAGGAGUACCGGUACCCGGCAACCAAACUGGCGUAACCCGAGCCUCUGUCAAGCAAGCAGCUUGUAGUGUACUGAUACCUGCUCGAUGCAGUACCGGUACCAGGCCCCAGUACAGGUACUCGGCUUAGUCAGUACCGGUUCUCAGCCUCCCAAAGCUCAAACUUGAGAGCACCCCUCUCGGUUACGCGUCGGGUUUCCAAUACCCCUCCAUGGUACUAGUACCCAUCACCCCAAAUGUCACGCCCCGCGACCACCAAUUUGGUCGGUUCGGGUACGUCCACAAACGCCCAGAGAGUUAGUCUACAAAUUCCACCUCUAUCUCGAGCCUAACCCUCGGCUCCCAACAAGCCACUCACCGGCAUCACCCAAUUACCUAUUCACUCGGUAGGCGAUACAUUACGACCACACAUGCAUGCCAGGGAAUUAAACCCAUCCACAUUCCGAUCCCAAUUAUACUUAUGCAUGUGACACUUCAAAUCCACAUCCUACCAAAUCACACAACCUCUUCCGAAAUACCAAUCCUGCUACAAUACCAUCAGUAGCAGUAAAUUCCACAACUAGGGUCGCUUAUCCAUGGCCACUUAUCGCUCAUCGCGAACCCCCCGAUCGCACAAUCGAUCUUACUCGCUCUCCAGACCAUACCGCAGGUGACACACUCGUAGGCAACCUCAAAAGAAAGAGAUCGUCGCCAGCGCUACGGUCCGGCCACCUACUAACAACACUCAACCCAUAUGCGGGUCGGUUGCCAACACCAAACACUCCAUCUACCCCACAACGCACACCAUUGCGUCAUGUAGGAACCACCACAACCAACACCUCACAACUAGGUCAGCAAAAGACCUAUCCAGAUUCCGGGAUCACAAUCGCAACUAUCUCAGGGUCGCUAAAAACUCAACCGACCACCCGAUCCACUUAUUAGUCGCAUCAUCUCCCAGCUUUCAACCAAACAACCUGCGCUCAUAUCGCGCAAAGCACCACCUCAUCACACCCUACAAGACCCAAUCUAAGGCCUCAUCAAGGCUUGCAAAUCAUGAGACUAUACAACCUUGAACACUCUCAUUCGGAGUUCCCGCACAUAACAACCGGCCUCCAUUUCGUUAUCCACCAUCGGUUACUCCCGAGUACAUCACGACCAACUCAUCGAUCUACUUGUGAUCUGACUAUGCUCUAACUCGUUGCAUAAUAUGCAACACAGCAAUCAUCAUAGGACACUACAUGUUCAACCACUUGCCGUCUACUCCAAAUAUCAUGCGGCUAGUACACCUCACUCCGCUCCAAUAUACACAAAUCCUCCAAGGAGAAUUUCCACGGAGUCGAUCCAUGACUACUCUCGCUGCACCACUACGACAAAUGUGGCCAAUUGAUCUCAGAGCUCCGUGUCUCUACUAAACUCAGCCGACCCAAGGACAUCACUUGUCCCAAUCCACGUUGAUCUCACUAAAGAUCGGCCACGCAUAUCCACCGAACGCACGAUAACUCAACCCUCCGGGUUAACCGCGAAACACGUAACACCUACCCCAACUCAAAUCAGGCGAAAGUCAUACAAGGGAGCCUAUUCUCAUCACUCGGUUUCAUGUUGUGUGCACCCAACAUGAACACUCCCUGCUGAGAAUACACUACACCUUGGAUCUACCUCCAACAUCCGUUUUAGAGGCAUAUCACACAUGACCCAAUCAAUUAACCUUUCGCCACAAAUUCAGAUUCUCGUUCUUUCACGAACCUAAAUCCUUAUGGUUUCCAUCCUAAGGUCCCUAGGUCCGUCCUAUACUUUCACUUUUCAUCGCUCUGAUACCAUUAUAUCUGUCACGCCCCACGACCGUCAAUUUGGUCGGUUCGGGUACGUCCACAGACGCCGAACGGACAGAACCUCCCCUGUCCGCCCAAGGCUCCACCCAACAAGUAUAACAAUAUCAAUUCAAUACAAGAAGAAUGCAAGUAUAUAUGGUUGUCACGCCCCAAGAUCGGUCCAUUUGGUCGGUUCGGGCAUGUCGAACAAACACCGAACGGACAGCACCUCCCCUAUCCGCCCAAGGCUCAACACUAGUACAAAUCAAGUAUAUAGUUUGCACAAGCGGAAACAUAAACAUACAUGGCUUGCACGAGGACAAGCGAUAGCCAAAAGUGAAAGAUUCUAAACUAAACAUCCAUACAAGUAAUAUGAUUAACUUUUAACCACAUACAUGCAUUCAACAUUUUUACAUUUAUCUUCUUUUCAUUCAUACAUCACAUGAUCUCAAAAUUACAUAACAUUUCUUCCAAAAUAUAAGCUCUCUUACAUUUAAACUUCAUUUAUACAUUUUGCAUCUUCAAAUACAAAACAAGAUAUAGAGGGUAUGCAACUAAAUAAAUAUGAAACCAACUCGGGUAGUCACUGUCUAUGGCGCGAUACUUUUACCGCGAUCGUCGACCGGCUCACUUGGUCCCGGCUCUGUGGAAAAUAGUGGGUUGAGAACUACAACAAAGUUUCUAGUGGGUUCGGCCGCCGACUUCGUCGACUUUCCCACUAGGUCUAAAUCAGGCAUAAUAGAAGAAUAAACAGAUAGAUAAGUAACCAACUAUACAGAUGCAGCUAAUAUGCCUGAACAAGAUAUACAAUAAGUAUGCUUAAUAAGAAUGCUCAUGAUGCAUGCAAGAUCUCAAUUCCAACACUCAAUCUCUUGGCUAAUUCGUAGGUUUUGCCCAAGCAGCUCACGAACUCAAAUCCCUAAUAUCGGGGAGACUCCUACAACCCGACGGGACCGUCCUCUGGGGAAAACACCAACCCAGUGAUGACUAUUCUGGAGCUCAUCGCUUGAGGUGGAGUUACCACCCUCAAGCCAAGACUUAUAGGCGAGUAUGAUCCAAUCCUUAACUAUAAGGAUGCCAAGUUCAAUCCAAUCCUUAACUCUAAGGAUGCAAUGCUCAAUCCAUUCCCUAACUAUAAGGAUGCCUCAACUAUGGGGAUGUCACAAUCACAUAUGCCAUAAUGCCAAAUAUCUCAUUUUCUUGCAUUCUUUAGCUAUCAUUAGUGCCACAUACACUAAAUGUUCUUUAUACUCAUUCUCAUGCAUUCUUGACUCAUUAAUGCCACACACUAUGUGUUCAACUCUAGCAUUCAAUAUACUCAUUAAUGCCACACACUAUGUGUUCACAUGUCAUAAUGUCACUAUGUUUUUUAACUCACUAGAUUCUUUGCCACAUCUAGGUUUUUGUCACCAUUCAUACAUUUAUAGGGUUCAUAAGUUCUCAAUAGUUUACUAAUAUUUUAUAUGCAUCUUGUACUCACAACAUGCAACAAUGUACUUGCAAAUCAACCCUACAAUGCAUGAAGUUCAUAUAUACACAUAUGCUCAAGAAGUGACACUUUAGACAUAAAAGAAAAUUCAAGGAUUUUGGAUAGCACCAUCCACCUCGUAGGGUUGCUAAGAUGCUACGGUUCGAAUUUCGUGAUUUUUAGAUGUCUACUCGCUCGCUUGCGGCAAAACGAAGCCAAAAUAGGCUUUUUCUCCAAUUUCUUUGCGUAGACUCGUCGGAUCUUUGAACCGAGUCUCCCAACGCGUCGAUUUUACCUUCAAUUAGAUUUCUAUAAGGUUAAUUUACAUUUAAACCAACCUAUAGCAAAAGCCCUAAUCUUGGUGCCCUGACAAUGCUCUAUAGCACAUACACCAUGUGGAUCUUGGAGAUAAGCAAAAACAAACUUAAUAUCAUCUAGAGAUCCAUCAAAAAUCAUUCUUAGGGCAUUUGAACCAAACCCUAGAGUUCUACCAUGAGUGCUCAUGAAGCUUACCUCAAAAAACUUCAUUUUCUUGAGCUAAGGAAGAAGAAGAAGAAGUUGCUUCACCUUCUAGCCUUCUUCUCCUCCAAAUCCACCCUCAAAUCUCCUCUUGAUCCACCCCUAAGAGAGAGAGAGAGACUUCUUAGAAGAGAGAGAGCUCCUUUAGGGUUCUUUUGGCUGUGAACAAGAGAUGAGAAGGUGGAGGGGGUUUUAUAAGCUGUUACAACUGCAUUUAAGCCCUUCAGUCUCUUUUAUUUGCAGCAGACUCAACCUGCUAUUCGCAGCACUGCGUACCGGUACGCGGGAUCAUGUCAUAGGUACGCCCCUGUUCAGCUGCCCAAACCCGAGAGCUGCUAUUCUCGGGUUGCUGCGGAGUACCGGUACGCACCAGGGGUGUCACCGGUACGUAGACUCCAGUGACCAAACCUGAGAGCUGCUGUUCUCGGGUUGCUGCGGGGUACCGGUACCAUCCAAGGCUGUCACCGGUACGCAGUGCCCAGACUUCAAUUUUGGCAAUGCUUAGAUUCUAUUUCGCGCCGAGCAAUGCUAAAACUUAUCAAUCUCAUUUGGAACUCAACUUUAACCAUCUCUCUUGACACACUCUGGUCAAUUUGACUAAAGUUCGAUAUAACCUACCGAGAUUCGGUAUAUUACAUAUGGCUUGCACGAGGGCAAGCAACAACCAUCACAAGUGAAAGCAAUCUAGCUAUUACAUCCAUACAUUGUAACUUGAUCACUUUGAAUCAAAUACAAAGCAUACACCUUUUCUUUACAUUCAUCCAAUAUAUAUAUCCAUCUUUCAAAUGAAAUUAUUACAUUUUUCAUUCAUCAACAUAAUAGAUGAAAUAUACAUAAGGUGCCUCUAUACACAACGGUAGUUCGCCGCUAUCUAGAGCAUGAUACCCAUGCCAUGUCCCUAGUCCACUUCGCUCGCGCUAGGACCUGCAUGGUUAGUAGGGUGAGAACUACAACAAAGUUCCCAGUGGGUUCAGCCGCCGACCCCGCCGACCCCGCCGACUCGCCCACUAAGUCUAUUCAGGCAUAUGUAGGUAAAUGAUAGAUAGAUAGCAAACCAACUAAUGCAAAGCUAUUACAAUGCCUGAACAAGUAAUAAAUCCACAAGUGAUAUAAUCAUAAUAAUGAUGCAUGCAUGCUUUUUCACAUUUACCUUGGCUUUUACCCAAUUAACCCGGUUAACACAUGGUUAACCCCAAAACUAACAACCAAAAUCCCUGUCGAUCGGGGAGAAUACUGCUACAACCCGAAAGACCGUCUUCUGGGGAGAAUUCCGCUACACCUAGUGGUGACAACUUCGGAGCACACCGCUUGAGGGGGAGCUACCUCCCUCAAGCCAAGACCCUAUGUGAGUAUGAUCAAAUCCUCAAUUUGAGGACGCAUAGCCAAACUUGCUAUUUUUGCUAUAAAGCCACAAUGCCCAAGGCCACACUUGCCACAAUGCUCAAAAGGAUGUUACCUUGUCUAGUAUAUCACAAACUUGGCCACACUUGCCACAAUGCUCAAAGGUCUCUACCUCAUCUAGCAAAUCAUAUCCUCGGUGCCAAUCAUGCCUGCUAAUGUCAAUGUCACCUUUGUUUAUUAUUGUCAUAGUCCAACAUCUCAUUCAUACAAGUAUAGGGUUCCAACAUACAUGGUUCAUUAUCAAAUUAUAUGUUCACCUACGUAGAAGCAUACAAUUGAAUCCCAAUCAUAAUCACAUAUCACACUACCCUAUCAUGCAUGAAUGCUACAACACAUAUAUGCUCAAAAGAAGGCGAUAUAAACAUAAUGAGAAAUUCAGUGAUUUCGGAUAGCACCCCCCACCUCAAAAUGAUGCAAGGAGGUUAGAAUUCAAGUUCCAGGAUUUAUGGUCGCCGAUUACCCUCGACCCACGACAGACGAAGCCGAAAUGAGGUUUUUCCCACAUAUCUCGACGUAGACUCGUCGGAUCUUCAAACCGAGUGUUCCUACGCGUCAGUUUAUCCACCAAUCACAGCUACAAGAGAUCAAACUCAAGUUAGAUCUCAUAGUUAACAAAACCCCAAUUUCUAACCCUAAGGUUUUCAUCUUUACCAAAUAACCCCAAAUCUCAUGGAGAUUCAUGUUUAAAUCCACCGUAACAUCUCCUAGAAGCUAGAUCUAGAAGGAAAUAACCAAACCCUAAACAUAAAACCCUUAAACCACACAAUACUUAUCUCAAACCAAGCUCUCUUCCAAGCUAAGGUUGCACAAGAGGGUUGCUUCACCUCCAAGCAAGCUCUACUCCACCAUUUCUCCACCAUUGGAGCCACCUAAGGAGAGAGAGAGAGAGAAAUCUAGAGAGAGAAAGAGGGUUUCUAUUUGUGUUGGAGUAGAGAGAAAUGAGGGCCAAACCACAUAGAACCCACAUAUAAACACUCCACUUGACACAAUUGCACUUAGCCCCUUCCAAAUAACAGGGCUCCACUCAACCCACCUCUGCACGUGUUCGGGGUCCGGACCCUAUCAGCCCGAAAAUUUCAGAACUUCUUCCAACAUGCUCUCCAAGGUCCAAACACCUAUAUUCAUCAUUCCGAAGCAUCCAGAAUAUCAACGGAACUUUCCAACUCAUCCAUUACCAUGCUUUGAUCAAUUUUGACGGAAGUUCAGUAGAACCUAUUGGGGAAUCGGUAUGUUACACCAAAACCUGCAGUUUGCAGAUUUUGGUGCUAAGUACCCACUCUCGCUUCUCAAGACGCAAGUAAUAGGUCGGAACACAAUCCACGGCCCUCAAACACACCAAAAAUAGUACUAAAUACCAUUCGAACACUAGAACCUUGCAAUUUGCUAAAGUUCAGUGUGCUACAACGGAUGUGUUGGCGGGCCCAGGGAAUGUGGUAAUCCGGGGCCUGACAUUCCCCGUGGCUAUUCAUAGUAGUGAUUUCUAGUUGCUUCCUUCUAAAAGCGGAGUGCAGCCGUCUCACCCUUCGUUGAGUCUGAUCCUUAGACAUGAAAAGGCUAAAGGGCAAUUCUUAUGGUAGCUCCCUAUUUAUGAGACAUUUUUGGCAUGCAUCUUUAUUCUCUUUUUCCACCCCUAAUUGCUUCUUGGGCACUGAUAGAGCGUGUUGUUUUGACAACAAGUUCAUUUUGAGACAUAUAGCUUUGUUGGGUCGUUAAUCUUCUUUGGUUAUUUCGGCCAAACAUAUCACUCAUAGUUGAGAAUGUUCAUUUUGCUCUGCUGAUUGCUUUUUGAAAUUAUGUUCUUCUUCUAAAGAUUUGGUAACAAUGCCUUUUCCUUUGAAAUCCACGAAGAAGGUUAUUAUCAACAACCGUAUCUUUUUAUUUUUUUGGUCGACAAAUGUAAGUCGACUAUCCAAAAUUUCCUUCUGGAAUUUCUUUCGGAAGGAAAUACAAUCAAUUUUCCUGUGGCUCCAGAAAUAGUGCCAUGUGCAAUACAUCUUCUCGUAAAGUUGUGAUGCCCUACUUCCUAGGGGGUCAUCCAUCCUAGAACUACUCUAGCCCUUGCAACUCCUAGAGUAAUUCAAAUAGAACUCUGAUGGAUGUAUAUUUCACCACUGGUGAGAAAACAUCAUUGAAGUCAACAUCCGGAGUGUCACGCCCCGGGAUCGAUGCCAAUUUGACCCGACCCGAGCACGUCAAACAGACGCCGAACGGACAGAGUUUCCCCUAUCCGCCCAAGGCUCAUCACAUGUACAUUUUCAUCAAUAGAGAAAUGUACUAGCGGAAGCAUACACAAACGGCUUACACGAGGGUAAGCAAUAGCCAUUAGUGAAAGAAANGGUCUCUCCCUUCAGGGACCGGUCCCCGAGAGCUGAAAAUCUGCAGUUUUGCAGAAUUCAAUUCUUUAGCUCUCGAAAACCUUCCACAACUCACUUUUACUUAUUUAAACACCUUCGGACUUUCCGAAGUGUACCGUCCUCGCACUUUGGUCAAUUUGACUAAAGUUCGACAUUUUUAUUUUUCGAAUUUUCGGUAUAUUACACGGAGUUUCUAUCCUUUUGCAACCAAACGUGCCUUAUAUCUGACACUCUUAACUCCCGGAGUGCCUUCCCUUUUCUUAAACACCUAUUUACAGCGAACAGCUUUCUUUCCCUUUCGAAGCUUCGCCAGAUCCCGAGUUUGAGUCUUAUGAAGAGUUUCCAUCUCUUCCUCUAGUGAGCAACCAUUUUGUGGAAUCACUACAUGAAACCGCCUCUGUAUAAGUACUAGGCUCUUCAAAGGAUUCUGUUUCUUCAGCAGUCACAAAAGCUUAAGCCACCAAGUUUGUUUUUUCAUAUAUCUGUGGUAGUCUGAUCUCCCUUCUCAGUUAAUCUCUAGCUAUAGAAUAUGUGUUUGUCUAUGGUGGCACCUGUGGUUCUGUAGGAGUAGAAUCGCUUGAAGUAGUACGUAAUGCUGGAGUGAUUUGACUUUUAUAGUUAGUUUGGAACUCCAUUUUGAUAGUUUUCUUUAAUGCAUCUGCAUUUGCACUUGUACCUAUAUCACAAGAAACACGCGACUCCCCCUUUUGGCAAAGCAUAGCAGUUUUGUUAAACUUAACAUCUAUGCUAAUAAUAACUUUGUUAUCUUUAGGGCACCACAGCCUAAAACCUUUAGUAUCGGAAGCAUAUCCUAGAAAUUUGCACUCUUUAGAUCCGGGUUUCAACUUCCCUUGACUGACAUAAGUAUAAACCAGACAAUCAAAAAUUUUCAAAUUAGAAUAUUUUGGAGGGUGCCUAGACCAUAUCUUUUCUAGAAUAUUCAAAUUAAUGAAAGUGGAUAGAGACUAAUUCACAACAUAGGAAGCCGUAGAAGUAGCCUCUGCCCAUAACUCCUGACUGAAUCCUACACUCAAGAGCAUGCAUCUUGUUUACUCAAUCAACGUUCUGUUCACACGUUCUCCCAUGCCAUUUUAUUGCUAUGUUGGGCUACUAUACGAUAUCUGUAACGUAUCACUUCCCUGAGAAAUCGUGCCGAGUUCCGUCGAAAUGAGCGGAACACGGAGUGGAAACGAGAUGGAAUGGAUUCUAAGUGUUUUGGAACCUUAGUAUGGUGUAAAGGGACCCGGGAGAGUGAAAUUUGGGAAAAUGGUUAAGUCCCAGAAUUUCAGCUCUCGGGGACCGGUCCCUGAGGGGAGAGACCGGUCCCCGUAGGCUGAAAAAUUGUCCAACGGCUAAGUUCUAAAAAUUGUGCUCUCGGGAACCAGUCCCUGGAGGAGAGACCGGUCCCCGUGCGCGUAGCCAGCCAAAAAGAUAAAAUUUUGGCUAAGUCCUGAGAGUGGUGCUCUUGGGGACUGGUCCCUGUGGGGAGAGACCGGUCCCCGUAAGCAAGGAAUUUUCCCUAGCGGCUAAGCCCUGGAAAACCUACUCUUUGGGACCGGUCCCUGCGGGGAGAGACCGGUCCCCGUAUGCGAAAAAUGCCCAGGUUGGGCUGAUGUGAAAAAAUGAAAGUUGAGGGGUUCAAGUGCAAUUUUGGCUAAGUGAGAGUGUAUAGAGGUGAGAGUUAGGGUUAGCUCUCAUUUCUCUCAACCCUACAAAAGAAAUAUCUUUCUCUCUCUCUAAAAACCCUCUUUUUCUCUCUCCUUGUCUCUAGAAUUUGGAUCAAAGGGAGGAGUUUGGAGGAGCAAGCUUGGAGAAGAAGCUUUCCAAGGUGAAGGCAAGCUUGUGCAAGUGCUUUUGAAGGAAAGCUUUGGACUCUAAAGGUAAGUUCCAUGAUUAGAGUUAGGAUUUUGGGUAAUAGCUUCUUGUAUCAGUAUCUAGGAGCUUCUAUGUUAGAUUUCCUCCAUGUGUAUGCAAGCUAGGGGCUUGUUUGGAGAAGAUGACAUUGUACGAGGACCUAAAGUUAGGGUUUUGAGAUUUUGAGGUCGAAGCUUGGAUUUGAUUUCUUUUUAACCUAAUUGGUAGGUCAACGAACGCGUUGGUGCACUCGGUUCGGUGAUACGACGAGUGUACGCGAAGAUAUUGAGAAAAGAAGCUAAAUUGGUACAGAUUGCCACAGCUCGCGGCGUAAGCGUCUAAAAAUCGUGAAAACAAGACCGCGGCAUCCUAGCAUACCCACAGGUGGCGGGUGCUGUUCGGAAACACCGGAUUUCUCUCUAUGUCUAUGUUACCUUCUUUGAGCAUAUUGAUGUUAGCAUUCAUGCAUGUAGGGUAGUGUGAUAUGUGUUCUUGGUUGAAAUGCAUUUAGAUGCUUAAAGAAUAUGUGAAUUGAUAAAGAACCAUGUAAACCAUGUAUGAAAGAACUCUAUGUAUAUGUGAAUGCGAUAACGGACUAUGACAAUAGUAAACAAAGGUGACAUUGAUAUUAGUGACCAGAUUGGCAUCGAGAAUGUAAAUGACUAAACAAGGUUUAGCUUAUUAUGGCAUCAGGACUAUUGUGGCUCAGGUAUAAUGGAAAUGUGAUAUGGUAAUAACCUAUCAUGGGCAUCGAGAAUUUAUGUAAUGCGACAGGUUUGGCUACGUCCUCAAAUUGAGGAUUGGAUCGUACUCACACAUUGGUUUCGGCUUGAGAAAGGUAGCUCCUCCUCAAGCGGUGUACUCCGGAGUGUAGACACCACGGGGAGAGUACCCCGGCAAAGAUCCCUCGGGUGGUUGAGCCUUGUGCCUCCUUCGGUAGACGGAAUGUGUGGAUUGUGAGUUUGGGGUAAACCAGGAGCACCCCGGGAUGAUUGGGUAAAGGCCAAAGAGCAUGAGACAUGAACAUGCAUGCAUAAUUAUCAUAUAUUGGAUUAUUUAUCUAUCUGCUGACUACUUUCUUGCAGGCAUUAUAUUAGUAGUGCAUUAGUUGGUUUGUUAUCUACUUUCUUGAAAUACAUAUGCCUGAAUAAACCUAGUGCGCGAGUCGGCGCGGUCGGCGGCCGAACCCACUGGAAACUUCGUUUAGUUCUCACACCACUACUAACCCUGCAUAUCCAUGAGUGAGCGGGGCGGCGGAGGAUCGAGGCAAGGCGCUAGCACCAUAGAUAGCGGCCCUCGGAGUAUAGGCAUUUCCUAUAUAUAUUCAACUUUUGUAUGUUGAACUAGAAACGGUAAAAUGAUGUAAACCUUUAUUUUGGUUAACGACAAAUGUGAUGUAAAUGUGAAUGAAUGGAAAGAAUGAAUGUAAAUAAUGGUUUACUUGUGUUUGAUUCAAAUGUAAUCGUAUGACAUGUAUGUGGAUAAAUGUUUAGUUAGUUUCGAUGCUUUCACAUGUGAAUAAGUUGUUGUUUGCCCUCGUGCAAACCUUGUAUAAUUGCAUUCAUCCUGUAUUGAAUUGCUUGUAUUAUACAUGUUGAUUAGAGCCUUCGGCGGACAGGGGAGGUGCUGUUCGUUCGGCUUCUGUCGGCGUGCCCGAACCGACCAAAUUGGCGGCCUCGGGGCGUGACAGAUAGUUUGGUAUUAGAGCGAGUGAAAGCAAAAGUCUAGGAUGGACUUAGGGACCUUAGGAUUGGAGACCUUAAGGACUUAGGAGACAUUUGACAUGGACAUGGAAAUGCGAAGGCUAAUUGAUUGGGUUAUGAUUAGAACUUCUCUAAAAGGAGUUAGAGAUGGAUUCAAGUAAUCAUUUGUUUUCUUCUUGAAGUGUUAUGUGGGCGGCCGACUAUAUAACGCCGAGAGUUGAAAAUGAGUACGCUUGUUUGCUUUCACUUAAUUGGGUAGUUGUUUGGAAGGUGUAAGAGUUACGCGUGUCGAGUAUUAACGUGUGUUUCAUUUCAGGAGCUAAUGUCCCCGAGACGUUAUACGCGUAGGUCCGCUCCGGCAUUACCUGAUGAAGUGCCCGAGCAAGUUGGAUCUGAUGAAGUCCGAGAGUUGCGGGCCCAAGUAGCGGCUUUGGCCGGGGCUAUGCGACAGCAAGGGGAGCAGAUAGGACGACUCCAUGAGUUGGUGGCUCAACAGGCGGCGGCGGCUGCACCUGUACCUCAGGACCCACCCACACCUGUAGCACCUACUCCGACGGUGGCGGCGGCACUGGUGACAGCUAUUCCUCCGACGGCUUCGGGUACUUCGGCUCCUAUCCCGGAGGUACUUUAGGCCAAGCAGGAGCGGUCGUUUGUGGUGUUGACGGCCUUUAAGCGGUUCAAUCCUCCGACGUUCCAGGGUGAUGUGAAGGAUCCUUGGUUAAUAGAGGCGUGGCUUUCAGUGAUGGAGGCGUUAUUCAAGGAUGUCUACACCCUCGGGAAGGAUAAAGUACGCAUGGCGGCUCACUGUUUAGAGGGGUCGGCUCGAGUGUGGUAGACACGAGUUAAGAAUGGGCGAUCUUUGGAUCCUGCUUCCAUGACUUUGGAGGCAUUUCGGGAGUUGUUGCUUAUGGAGUACUUUCCAGAAAGCGACAAGCGGAAGAUCAAGGAGGACUUUCGCAAAUUAAGGCAAGGAAGCCAAUCUAUGCGGGAGUACGAAAGGGAGUUCUCGCACAUGGUUGAUUGCGUUUCAAGCUUAGUUCAUGGAGAUCGGGACCGAGAGGAGGUCUUCGAGCGCGGAUUGCGGCUGGAAAUAUUCAAGAUUAUUCAUGCGCUCCGGUUGAAGACCUAUGAGGACGUGCUGGAUCGCGUGCUAUGGGUAGAGCGCGGCAACACCAUUGCGCGUGAGGAACCGAGGCGUUUGAAAGGGACAGGGACAAGGACAAGGAGAAGUCAAAGAAGCGACCGGCUGGUGGUUCCGUAGGGCAGUAGAGUUCUAAGCGACCCCCUCGGUACCCUAGACCGCAGAGACGGGGAGGUAGAAGCCAGUCAAGGGGUCAGAUAACUUCCUUUUCGUGUGUGAUUUGCGGCGAAAAUCACAAGCCAAGUGAUUGUUCUCAGCAUGACGAGAGGUGUUUCCAAUGUGGCCAAGCGGGACACAUGAGUUCGGAUUGCCCGGGCAACGCGUCACCUGCCUCGUCAGCUGCUUCGGCUUAGUAUGCACCACGACAGCUUGUAGGACUGCCACCUGCUAUGUCGGCUGGGCGCGCGUCAGCCGGAGGGAUCACGUGCACCGAGUGGACGUAUUUUCGCCACUCAAGUGGAGGAGCAGCUUGCCGUACCCGACGACGUCGUGGCAGGUAUUAUUUUGAUUAAUAGCAUUAGAGCAAGAGCAUUGUUUGACACGGGUGCAUCACAUUCAUUUAUUAGUGCAUCGUUUGCUAAGACUCAUGGCAUGAAAAUAGUGCAUAACCAUGAUUAUUGGUGGGUUAACGCACCAGAGCAUUCGUUUAGAGUUCACGAGGAGUGCCUAACUUGUCUUGUUCAGAUCGGCGAGUGGAUCAUGCCAGCGAAUUUGCUAGUGUUGAAGCAGAUGUGGGGAUUUGAUGUUAUCUUAGGAGUUAAUUGGCUCUCCAAGUACUAUGCCAGCAUUGACUGUGACAGUAAUGUGAUCACUUUUCGUGACCUGGUCAAGAGGAGUUGGUGUAUCAAGCGUGUAAAAGCUCGCGCUUCACGGCGACCGUGUCGGCGGCGAGGGCGAGAAAGAUGAUCAAAAGCGGAUGUGUGGCCUAUUUGGCGACCAUGGUAGAGGCUCGAAAGGAGCAUCCGGAACUUGGAAAUAUCCGAGUUGCGUGUGAGUUUUCGGAUGUGUUUCCGGCGGAGUUACUGGGAUUGCCACCGGAUCGGGAGAUCGAGUUCGUCAUUGACUUGAUUCCCGGGGCAGCACCGAUUUUGAAGGCUCCGUAUAGAAUGGCACCGGCGGAGCUUAAGGAGUUAAAGGCCCAGUUGCAAGACUUGCUCGACAAAGGUUUUGUUAGGCCGAGCGUGUCACCGUGGGGAGCUCCGGUGCUGUUUGUAAAGAAGAAGGACGGUACACUUCAACUCUGCGUUGAUUAUCGAGUUGAAUAAAGUGACAGUCAAGAACAAAUACCCGUUACCGAGAAUAGACGACCUGUUUGAUCAGUUGCAAGGGUUGCGGGUAUACUCGAAGAUAAACCUUCAGUCGGGAUAUCACCAAUUGAAGAUCCGGCCGAAGGAUAUGCACAAGACGGCGUAUCAUACGCGGUACGGCCACUAUGAGUUUACGGUAAUGCCUUUCGGGCUUACUAAUGCCCCAGCAGUGUUUAUGGACCUAAUGAAUCGGGUCUUUUGACCGCUAUUGGAUAAAUGCGCCGUGGUGUUUAUCGACGACGUAUUGGUGUAUUCGCGGAGUGAGGAAGAACACGAGGAACAUUUGAGAACCGUGUUGCAAAUACUCCGGAACGAGAAGCUUUAUGCUAAGCUUAAGAAGUACGAGUUUUGGCUUUCAGAGGUAACCUUCUUGGGCCAUGUGAUUUCCGGGAGUGGAGUCUCGGUAGAUCCAAGGAAGAUUGAGGCGAUUAGAGAUUGGCCUCAUCCGACGAGUGUGGCGAAAGUCCGUAGUUUUCUCGGAUUGGUGGGCUAUUAUCGACGUUUUGUUGAGGGGUUUGCGAGGUUAACUACUCCUCUCACAUGCCUAACGCACAAAGGAGUCAGAUUUGUCUGGAGCGACGGUUGCGACCAAAGCUUCCAAGAGCUAAAAGAGAAGUUGACGUCUACCCCGGUACUUGCUUUGCCGAUGCCGAGAGAGAACUUCGUGGUGCAUAGUGAUGCUUCCUAUAGUGGUCUCAGGUGUGUUCUUAUGCAAAAUGGGCGAGUCAUUGCGUAUGCAUCGCGCCAGCUGAAGAGCUAUGAGAAGAACUACCCGAUACAUGAUCUCGAAUUAGCGGCUGUUAUUUUCGCGCUAAAGCUAUGGAGGCACUACCUCUAUGGUGAGCAUUGUGAGGUAUAUACCGAUCACAAAAGCCUCAAGUACUUGUUCACCCAGAAAGAGUUAAACAUGCGGUAGCGGCGGUGGUUGGAGUUAUUGAAGGAUUAUGACCUUACUAUCCUAUACCACACCGGAAAGGCUAAUGUGGUUGCUGAUGCACUAAGUAGAAAAUCUGUUGAGAACUUGGCGACGAUAAUUACUAGUCAACCGUUGUUGCAGAAGGAAAUGCAAUGGUUUGGAUUAGAAGUAGUGGCGCCGGAGGUUUCGACUAUCUGGGCAGCGCUAGUGGUUCGACCGACCUUAUUGGAACGAAUUAAGGAGCGGCAAGUGGAUGAUCCGUAUCUCCAAAAGGUGCGAAUGACAUUGACGGCGGACACGCCGGUGACUUCAGCGUGGGAUCCGAUGGUGCACUUCGGUUCAGAAACCGGUUGUGUGUGCCCAAGGAUGAUGAAGUCCGUAAGAUAGUGUUGUAAGAGGCGCAUCAUUCUCCGUAUAGUAUUCACCCGGGCGGCACCAAAAUGUAUAAGGACUUAAAGCUACAUUAUUGGUGGCCGGGUAUGAAGAGAGACAUUGGGGAGUUUGUGGCGCAGUGUUUGACGUGCCAACAAGUGAAGGCCGAGCGUCGAUUUUCUGCGAAAAAGUUGCAGAGCUUACCAAUCCCCGUGUGGAAAUGGAAGGACAUAGCAAUAGACUUUGUGGUCGGAUUACCCCGAUUGCAAGCUUGACAUGAUGCCAUAUGGGUGGUUGUGGACCGUUUGACGAAGUCGGCUCAUUUCUUGCCGAUCCACACCACGCGGUCCGGAGACAAGUUAGCACAAGUCUACUUGGAUGAGAUAGUGAGAUUGAAUGGGGUUCCUGCGUCGAUUGUAUCGGAUCGAGACCCCCGGUUCACUUCUCAUUUUUGGAAGAGCUUGCAGGAUGCUCUAGGCACGCGGCUCGAUUUCAGUACGGCGUUUCAUCCUCAAAGUGAUGGCCAGUCAGAGAGGACAAUUCAAAUACUCGAGGAUAUGUUGCGAGCGUGUGUACUCGAUUACAGUGGAGGGUGGCAUGAGCAUUUGCCGAUGGCAGAGUUCGCUUACAAUAACAGUUAUCAAGAAAGUAUAGCGAUGGCGCAGUUUGAGGCAUUUUAUGGGCGUAAGUGUUGCUCUCCUAUCCAUUGGAGCGAGGUGGGUGAAAGAGUCGCCCUUGGUCCGGAUGUGGUGCGAGAGGCGGAAGAGAAAGUCCGUCUUGCUCGCCAACGGUUGUUGACGGCACAAUCGUGGCAACGAAGCUAUGCGAAUAAGCGCCGAAAGGAUUUGGAAUUCGCGGUUGGUGACCGUGUGUUUCUCAAAGUGUCACCAAUGCGCUGGGUGAAGUAGUUCGGCAUUCGGGGGAAGCUUAGUCCCCAGUAUAUUGGCCCGUAUGAGAUUCUAGAACGGAUUGGGCCGGUAGCGUACAAGUUGGCAUUACCGCCGAAGCUUGCGGGAGUGCAUAAUGUAUUCCACGUAUCGAAUCUCCGUAAGUAUUUCCGGAACUCCUCACAUGUGUUGGAGUAUGAGCCGGUGGAGUUGCACGAGGAUGUUACUUAUAAAGAGUUUUCAGUGAGCGUUCUUGCUCGAGAGGAGCAGAAGCUACGGAAUCGGACUAUUCCGUAUGUAAAGGUGCAGUGGAGUAAUCACUCGAGGCGUGAGUCCACGUGGCAACUCGAGGAGAAGAUGCGUGAGGUGUAUCCUCGCUUGUUCGAGCAAAUGAACUAAGGUACUUGUUGAGUUUCGCAGACGAAACUAUCUUUAAGGGGUGGGGAAUGUAACGUAUCACUUCCCCGAGAAAUCGUGCCGAGUUUCGUCGAAAUGAGCGGAACGCGGAGUGGAAACGAGAUGGAAUGGAUUCUAAGUGUUUUGGAACCUUAGUAUGGUGUAAAGGGACCCGGGAGAGUGAAAUCUGGGAAAAUAGUUAAGUCCCAGAAUUUCAGCUCUCGGAGACUGGUCCCUGAGGGGAGAGACCGGUCCCCGUAGGUUGAAAAAUUGCCCAACGGCUAAGUUCUAAAAAUCGUGCUCUCGAGAACCGGUCCCUGGAGGAGAGACCGGUCUCUGUGCGCGUAGCCAGCAAAAAGAUGAAAAUUUGGCUAAGUCCUGAGAGUGGUGCUCUCAGGGACCGGUCCCAGCAGGGAGAGACCGGUCCCCGUAAAAGGAAUUUUCCCCAGCGGCUAAGUCCUGAAAAACCAACUCUCGGGGACCAGUCCCUGCGGGGAGAGACCGGUCCCCGUAUGCGAAAAAUGCCCAGGUUGGGCUGAUGUGAAAAAAUGAAAGUUGAGGGGUUCAAGUGCAAUUUUGGCUAAGUGAGAGUGUAUAGAGGUAAGAGUUAGGGUUAGCUCUCAUUUCUCUCAACCCUACCAAAGAAAUAUCUUUCUCUCUCUCUUAGAACCCUCUUUCUCUCUCUCAUUCUCUCUAGAACUUGGAGCAAAGGGGGGAGUUUGGAGGAGCAAGCUUGGAGAAGAAGCUUUCCAAGGUGAAGGCAAGCUUGUGCAAGAGCUUUUGAAGGAAAGCUUUCGACUCUAAAGGUGAGUUCCAUGAUUUGAGUUAGGGUUUUGGGUAAUAUCUUCUUGUAUGAGUAUCUAGGAGCUUCUAUGUUAGAUUUCCUCCAUGUGUAUGCAAGCUAGGGGCUUGUUUGGGGAAGAUGACAUUGUACGAGGACCUAAAAUUAGGGUUUUGAGAUUUUGAGGUCGAAGCUUGGAUUUGAUCUCUUUUUAACGUAAUUGGUAGGUCAACAAACGCGUUGGUGCGCUCGGUUCGGUGAUACGACGAGCAUACGCGAAGAUAUUGAGAAAAGAACCUAAAUUGGUACAGAUUGCCGCAGCUCGCGGCGUAAGCGUCUAAAAAUCGUGAAAAUAGGACCGCGGCAUCCUAGCAUACCCGCAGGUGGGGGGUGUUGUCCGGAAACACCGGAUUCUCUCUAUGUCUAUGUUACCUUCUUUGAGCAUAUUGAUGUUAGCAUUCAUGCAUGUAGGGUAGUGUGAUAUGUGUUCUUGGUUGAAAUGCAUUUAGAUGCUUAAAGAAUAUGUGAAUUGAUAAAGAACCAUGUGAACCAUGUAUGAAAGAACCCUAUGUGUAAGUGAAUACGAGAACGGACUAUGACAAUAGUAAACAAAGGUGACAUUAACAUUAGUGACCAGAUUGGCAUCGAGAAUGUAAAUGACUAAACAAAGUUUAGCUUAUUGUGGCAUCAAAACCAUUGUGGCUUAGGUAUAAUGGAAAUGUGAUAUGGUAAUUACCUAUCAUGGGCAUCGAGGCUUUAUGCAAUGAGACAGGUUUGGCUACGUCCUCAAAUUGAGGAUUGGAUCAUACUCACACAUUGGUUCCGGCUUGAGAGAGGUAGCUCCUCCUUAAGCGAUGUACUCCAGAGUGUAGACACCACGGGGAGAGUACCCCGGCGAAGAUCCCUCGGGUGGUUGAGCCUUGUACCUCCCCCAGUAGACGGGAUGUGUGGAUUGUGAGUUUGGGGUAAACCAGGAGCACCCCGGGAUGAUUGGGUAAAGGCCAAAGAGCAUGAGACAUGAACAUGCAUGCAUAAUUAUCAUGUAUUGGAUUAUUUAUCUAUCUGCUGACUACUUUUUUGCAGGCAUUGUAUUAGUAACGCAUUAGUUGGUUUGUUAUCUACUUUCUUCAAAUACAUAUGCUGAAUAGACCUAGUGGGUGAGUCGGCGCGGUCGGCGGCCGAACCGACUGGGAACUUCAUUUAGUUCUCACACCACUACUAACCCUGCAGAUCCAUGCGCGAGCGGGGCGGCGGAGAAUCGAGGCAAGGGGCUAGCGCCAUAGAUAGCGGCCCUCGGAGUAUAGGCAUUUCCUAUAUAUAUUCAACUUUUGUAUGUUGAACUAGAAACGUUAAAAUGAUGUAAACCUUUAUUUUGGUUAAAGGCAAAUGUGAUGUAAAUGUGAAUGAAUGGAAAGAAUGAAUGUAAAUGAUGGUUUACUUGUGUUUGAUUCAAAUAUAAUCAAAUGACAUGUAUGUGGAUAAAUGUUUAGUUAGUUUCGAUGCUUUUACAUGUGAAUAAGUUGUUGUUUGCCCUCGUGCAAACCUUGUAUAAUUGCAUUCAUUCUGUAUUGAAUGCUUGUAUUAUACAUGUUAAUUAGAGCCUUGGGCGAAUAGGGGAGGUGCUGUGUCACGCCCCGCGACCAACCGCCAAUUUGGACUGGGUCGCGGCGCCGACGACAGACCGCCGAACGGACCGGGGUUUCCCCUGUACGCGGACAGAGUCUCCCCUGUACGUUCUAGGCGUCGCAACCAAAACAAUCAACGAAUGUUCCAACAAGGAACGGAUACCAAUCCAGAUUGCAAAGGAAGUAUCAAAUACAUAAAACUAACUGCUAUUACAAGCAUUCAUUUUCAUUCACUUAGUACAUCUCAAUUCAGUUUACAUUUUACUUCCAAUUACAAUCAUUUAUUUUACAAGUUUGAUACUUCUUGGUUCUUGCCUUCUAGUCCCCUAAGCUAGACUGCCCCAGGGUACUGCUACCUCGGUCUCUGUGGUAGGGCGCUAUCUACUGAGCUACGCCCUAGCCUUGCCCUAGCCUUGCGCCACCGCGCUGCACACGUACAACUUGAAAAUACCCCAAAACCACGUGGGGUGAGAACCAACUCCAUGGUUCCCAGUGGGUAUGGCCAUCCAAGGGAAAAGCUCGACCGAUAGGUCCAAGGAGGCACUGCAACAUGUUAGUUCAACAAUAUACAACAGAUAUAUAUAUUCAAUUGAAAUACAUGCCAUGCCUCACGAUAUGCGAUAUGAAAAUCAUGCAACUUUAUGCAACAACUAGUAGAUCAUCUGAUCCUACUCAUUACUUAGCUACUCUCAGCUAUAUCUUUACUCUAAGGUUUCUAUUACCGUAGGAUCUCAACUCAGUCCACUGGCUCCCAAGGUCUCUAUUGCCUUAGCUCAAGCCUCUAUCUCUAGCUCAUAAGGGUUCCUCUACCCUAUCGAAGCUAACCACUCGACUCGGCUUCGAGUCAAUCAUCCGCGGAUAGCCCGCGCACCGGCUGCUCAUCAGUCUACCGCCCUCUCUCUCUCAGCCCCCUAGCGGCGAAGUCGUCGCACACGCUAAGCUCGGCUCCAGUCGCACGACUUGACCAACCAGUGGCGAUCACGUUGCACUUACCCAGCGUGAGCUCGAGUCCUGACACACCGUCUGGCAGCGAACAGAUCGCACCACAGCCAAAAACGGUACAUGUCAGACCCCGCCACUUGGAGACACCCGCAUCGUACUUAUCCAGCAUGGAUUCAGUCUGCUCUGGCGGUCUGAUCCUCAAAUGGCUCAACCAUCCUGGCGGCGAAAUCGUCGCACAAACGCCACGGUAAUGGUUCAAGCCCCGGGCGGUGAUCUCCAUGUGAUCGCCCCCAAUCCUCCCUCGGUACCAAGCUCGGCGGCGAAGUCGUCGCACAAACGCCCUAGCUUCUACCAUGGUCAUCACAAGUCAUGGGAUUCCAGAAUCCACUUUCCACAGGUCGAGGGUCCAUAGCCAACCCUAUGCUUUCGACCUAUCUCAUCCUAGUGGCUAUACCACUAUGCUCAUCAACCUAGGUUCCAAUACUCUAGGUUCUAUGUCCAUGUCACUUAACCUAGAUACACUUGCUAGGUUCUUGUCAUCAUUGCCUAGAUGUCCACUUCUAGGUUUACUAGUUCGACCUAGGUUCACUAGCACUAGGUUCGAUACCACACCUAGAUUGUUCGACUCUAGGUUCACUUGUUUAACCUAUGUUCUUUAACACUAGGUUAGAUGCCACUCGAUCUACCUGACAACCUAGUUGUCCAAUCAUCUUAGCUAACACUAGAGUUAUUAUCUCAUGCUCUCUACUUGGCAUUUACUCUAUGCAUCUUUAUUCAUCAUGCAGUCUAUUUACUUAGCCUUUACUUUAUGCAUAUUUAUUAAUGCACCGUUUAGUCUUGUCUACAUGCACAUACAUCAACAUGAGAUUACAUUUCUAAGACAUAAAGAGCGACCUAGUCGCUUCGGUAAGCACAACCCACCAUAGUUAGCUUCCCGAUUGCUUGUCGACACUUGCAAUCGGCCUCCCGCGGCACCCGGCACCCGUCACCCGUUUGGGCCCGAUCUUACAAUUGCUCCCCAAGAGCGCGCCGCUUCGCCGUUUCAAGUGCUAGCGAUCUUUGCCUUGCCGCUAUGGUGCUCGGGAUCCGAUUUCACGAUUUAUGGAUGUCGCCUCGGCCUCCCAGACGGAAACGAAGCUCCGAGCGCCCGUUUCUUCAAUAUCUUUCCAACGGCUUGUCGGAUUGCCGAACCGACUUCGCCAACGAGUUUCGUUACCUACCAAUUAGGUUUACGAAGGGUCAAAUGAGAUCGAACUCAUCUAUUUACAAAAACCCCACUUGGAUGCCCUAGAAUGCCAUCACCAACAAAUCCGCCAAAUCAAUCUAUGAUUUGGGUAUAAUCCAUCAAAAUAGCAUGCUAGGGUUCCAAACAAACCAUUUCUAGAGAUCAAAACCCUAUCUUUAAGGAUUUACCAUAAGAAGCCAUGAAACUUACCUCUCAAAGAGCUCCACGGAGAGAAGAAGAAGAUGAAGAUGAAGAUGAGGAAGAGGAUCUCCUCCUAGGUCCUCUCCUUCUUCUCCUUUCCUUCCUCUUUUUCAUCUUCCCUUCUCUUUUCUCUUUUCUUUCUUUCCUUUCUUUUCCCCUUCGCACGAUCAGAGGGAGAGAGAGAGAGUGGCUGAGGGAGUGAGAGAGAGAGGAAAAGAUCUCUCUCUAAUACCCUCUCUCAUUUUGUAACAAUAUCCCCAAAGGCCCCUCAACUUUUCACCUCUUACACAGCCUUUACUGGGCGUUCUGCGCGCUGAGGGACCGGUCUUCCCGACCUGGGACCGGUCCUCGGGGCCUCCCCCGCGGGCACGCGUUCGGGAACCGGUCCCUCCCUGAGAGACCGGUCCUCGGGAAACCGGUUCCUCUCAGAGAGACCGGUUCCCGAGAGCUGAACUUUCGGGACUUAGUCGAUUUUCGACUCUUCUCACUGGUGUCGCAGGCUGGGACCGGUCCCUCCUCUGCCAGGGACCGGUUGCAUCAGCAACCUCGCAGUCUCCAGCUGAUGGGACCGGUCUCUCACCUCCAGAGACCGGUCCUCGAGAGCAACCUCAGCCCAAAAAUGUAGAUUGCAUUACUUGCUCUCGCGGACUCCAUUCCAAUGCACUUCUUGGGUUUCAUGCACCAUUAGCUUUUCCAAAGCUUAUCAACUCGACCCUUGGUCGAUUCUGGACGAAGCACGACUCUCGGAUUUGGAGAAUUCCUGGGUAUGACAUGCUGUCCGUUCGGCGUCUGUCGGCGGGCCCGAACCGACCAAAUUGGCGGCCUCGGGGCAUGACAAUAUCUUUCGAUUCCUUCAUUCCUACAGAACUCAUUGAAUUUCCCUGAAUAGAACUCCAAACCAUUGUUGGUGCGACGACGCUUAAUUUGUUUCUUCUCUGUUUCUUAAUCAAAUUCUUCCGCUGCUUGAAGGUCUUGAAUACAUCACUCUUCUGCAAAAGAAAGAAUAUCCAUACCUUCCUGGAGUAGUCAUCUAUAAAGGUCAACAUAUGUCUUGCUCCACCUUUAGAGGGCACCUGUGCUGCCCCCCAAAGAUCUGAAUGGAUGUAAUCAAGUGUUCCAUUGGUUCUGUGGACUGCUUUGUUGAAGCUUACCCUCUUCUGCUUUCCAAGAACACAGUGUUUUGCAUAAUUCCAGACUACCAGUAUUUUGGCCAUAAUGGAGUCCUCUUUUGCUCAGCACUGUCAAUCCUCUUUCGCUCAUAUGUCCCAGCCUCAUAUGCCAUAAUUUUGUGACAUCUAAAUCGGACAUAGAUGAAGAGAAAACUGCAACUUCACCUGUCACUGUUGAACCGUGCAGCAUGUAUAGUUUUCCUUCUGGCUUUUGAUCUUUCAUCACAAUGAUAGCUUCUUUAACAACUUUCAGAAUUCCAUCUUCACCUGUGAACUUAUAUCUUUUAGACUCGAGUAUACUCAAGGAGAUUAAAUUCCUCUUUAGCCAUGAAAUGUAUCUGACAUCAGUGAGUGUUCUGACUACACCGUCAAACAUCUUGAUGUUCACUGAUCCUCGUCCAAUAACUUUACAGGAUGCAUCAUUCACCAUCAAAACAAUUCCACAUUACUAGCUUCAAAAGUAGAAAACUAGUCCCUGUUGGGACACAUAUGGAACGAGCAUGCAGAAUCAAGGAUCCACUCUGUGCUGGCUCUGGAUUGAUCAUCGCAGACCAGUAGAACAUUCCCAUUACUACUGUAAUCUUCUACUGCAUUGGCUUUAGCAGAUUUUGAGCUAUCUUUUUUCUUUUGAUUAUCUCUUCCUUCGCUCUGUUCCUUUUUCUUCAACUUGAAACAGUCCACCUUAAUAUAGCCCUUCUUUUUACAAUAAUUGCAAAUCAAAUGCUUAUGCCUAGAUUUUGAUCUAGCCUUUUCUUUACUAUCACCAAAAUUUCUCUGCUUAGAUCUUCCUUUGAUAAACAGACUCUCUGCCUUAUGUUCAGUGGUACCACUCAUCUCCUUAUCAAUUCUUUCUUUCGAGAGGAGCACAGUUGAGAUAUCUUCCAAAGAGAUGGUAUCACGUCCAUAGUGUAUAGUAUCUCUAAAAUUUGUAUAGAAAGAUGGCAGAGAAUAUAAAAGCAGUGGCGCUAAAUCUUCAUCCUCAUACUUAACGUUCAUCAUCCCCAGAUCAGUAAUAAUUUUUCUAAAUUCAACAAGAUGGGUCUUAAUGCUUUUACCUUUUGCUAGAUGAUGAGAGUACAAUUUCUAAUUCAUAUGGAAUUUGUUGGUGAGACUUUUCGUCAUGCAUAACCACUCGAGUUUCAGCUAAAAGCUUGCAACGUUUUUCUCCUUGAUGACGUGUUGUAAGAUCUUAUUCGAAAGGUAUAGUUGGAUCUACGUAAAGCCCUUUUGAUUCAUCUUCAUCUUUUCCGCCAUACUGAGGGAUGCAGGCAUCUUUUCUAUCUAGAGUAGUGCAUUUUCUAGGUCCAUCUGAGCUCGGAUUGCGCAUAUCUUUACUUGUCAUAAUGUAAAUCUUGUGCUGUAGUCGAGUAGAAGGACGUCAUAUUUCAUGGAUGCCAUUGAUGAAGAGAACCCGAAUUGAUGAACUUAGGGCUCUGAUACCAAUUUUUUACGACAGGCAGACAAAUGAAAAUAAAAAAUGAUGAAUACAAAAUAAAGAAAUCACAAACAAAAAUAGAAGAAUACACAGAUUUACGUAGAAAACCCUUUGCAGGAAAAAACCACAGGGCGAGGGAGGGGAGAACUUGACUAUCAAAAAAAAAAAAACAAAGUUCGAAGUACUACAAUCAUUAGACAUUCAUUUUUUCUUUACAAAUUUAUUUUGAAAUUUUACACCGCAAAACUGUCGGCGAGUCGAAGUCCCAAACUGAAGUCGAUUAUCAAUUUCGAGUCACAUCUAACAAAUUGGACAGUAGAAUAUAGACUUAGUUCAUUCAUAACUUGGCCUACCGCUUGUUUGAAUGUUGGAGAACCUUUAUUGAUAAUUGAAGGACACGUGAAUCAAUCUAUACGAUACAGGAUUGAUCGUUUGCAAAGAAAAAGCAGUACAAUUAACUUCCUCCAAAAAAAAGGAUCAAAUCUUCUGCUACUACAGCAACUAAGGUAGACUCCUUUAUCUUUCGAUUCGUACCCUAAUUAACUAAAUUUGCAGGGCUACUGUGUUAUUAGGAGUACAGCAGCCCUUGUGCUCCUAACUUUCUAACCUCCCAUCAAUUUUGAUGGAGGCUUAGAAUGAGAGAGAGAAGAGAAAUUGGGGAGAAAUUAGACAUCUCAAUUUCUCUUCUUUUUGAAUUUCUCUCCAAUUUCUCUUUUCUCUCUCAUCCUAACCACCCAUCAAAAUUGAUGCGUGGUUAGGAAGUUAAGAGCACAAGGACUGCUGUUCUCCUAAUAGCACAGUAGCCCUACUAUAUAUAUAUAUAGAACUAGGUAUAGAGAGAGAAUUGAGCUAGAAUACUAUCGAUAGCAAACGGACUCCGUUGUCACCCAUUUGUUUUCGAUGAUGGAGCCUCCAAAUCGACAAUCGGCACCAUUGAACAUGAUCUAUACCACUUGAAGUAUGUAGAAACCAAAUUUUAAAUCUUUUCGACAUUAUUAACCUAAUGAUCAAAGGGUUUCAAAAUUUAUAAUUUUAAUGGUCGAUAUGAGGCAUUUUCUCGUUUAACGGUGUAAAGAUAUCCAAAUCAAUUGAAUUUUGGUUAUAAAUUUUUUAAACUAUUUAGAACAAGAUCUAUAUUCUCGAUCUCGAUUAUAAGAUUCCUAUCAUCACUUUUUAAAGAAUAUAUAUUCAUUUUCAGCCGUUCAUUUUGUGUCCACUUGAUGGAGAAGAGAGCAAUAUCGGAAAAGUAUGAAAUUUGAUUUCUAGAUGUUUCAAGUGGUAUAGAUCAUGUUCAACAGUGGUGAUUGUCGAUUUGGAGGCUCCAUCACCAAAAACAAAUAGGUCUCGUUUGCUAUCGAUAGCAUUCUAGCUCAACUAUAUAUAUAUAUAUAUAUACAUAUAAUACUAUGUUUCACAAGUUUUUUAUCUCUUGACACUUAAAAGAUCCUUUUGACUAAUUCGCUUUUGGCAUUGUGCAGAACAAAAUAUUCAUAUUCUUACUCUUUUUUUUUCAAAAAAAAUAUGCAAAUCAUUUUUUUUUUUUGGAGAGAGAAAAAAUAUACGUACAGCGUAUUCAAUUAUAGAUUUCAGUGUUAUAGACUAUCGGUAGACUGAUCCUUUCUUAUAUAUGUCCAUUAGACAAUGUUCCUUUAUUUUCCCUUAAUACACUUUUUUUGAACUACGACGCAUUCUAUUUAAUUACUUAUACCAGCCACCGUGAUAUAGUUACCCAAAAGAUCUAUAUGGUAGAAAAACAACCUAGAAAUAAAUAUAUUCAAUGUGUAUAUUGCAUGAGACUAUCCAAUCAUCCUAUGGCUCUUCAAUGCUGAGAAAAUUCAAUUCUUUCGAUAAUCGAAGUACACUUUUACUUUCUCAAUAUAUUCAUACAUUGUUACGGCUUAAUGCUGAUCAGUUAGGACCCCAACAACUCAAAUAGAUCACCAUUCUAAGCGAUUCCUCUCGAGCAGCUGUACGAUUGCUGUCGAACGGCUUGAAUGCACCCCUCGAGCUGCCGAUCGGAGAGCUCGGAAUGACUCUUGCCCCAGCCAUGACUCGAUCGAUUGCCGACGAGUAAUUAGGCUUAGCCACUUUAGCUUCGAGCUCAAGAAGGGCUGCACCCAAUGUAAGAGCUAUGCAUGCCUUGUUUACAAAUCUCAUCCUUAAUUUGUUUGUGGGGGGAGAGAGAGAGAGAGAGAGAGAGAGAGAGAGAGAGAGAGAGAGAGAGAGAAGAGGCCAAAUUAGGUGAAAGAGAUAUAAAGAAAAAGUGAUAAUCAAUUAGUUCAUAGCACUUGAAAAUAGAACAAGAUUGGUGGGUGUGAACCAGAGUACAUUUAGAUUAAUUUAGUGGGGACUUCUGAUUUGGAGCUGGUGGUUUGGGUAAAAGCCAAUGGUUUCAUCAUGUUGGAGGAAGAAACAGCUCUUGGGGAGAGACCAUUGAUUUCUCAAACUGGGCCAAUGAAUUACAUGUGGGAAAUUAAAAAGAAAGUAAAAAAUAAAAUAGCUAUUUCAUUCCUUAUCCAGUUUGAGUGGUCCUAGUUAGUUCUAUUUAGAGAUGUAAACGGGUCAGGUCCAAUCGAGUACAGAGUUUGAGAGAAAUAUUUUUUGACUCUUAAAAUUUUAGACCCAUAUAUGUAUAAUGCAGUAUGAAUCAUCCAACUUAUCAACCCACUGAAGAAAUUAAAUUAAUAUUUUACUAGCGAUAUCGAUGCGGCAGCUCAAUUAAAUUAAUUAAAAUGUAAAAAUAAAUAAAUUACUGACUAAUCUAUAUAUUGGAAUUAAUAUAGACAAGUCAAUUUUGCAGCAACAUUAAUUUGUGGGGAAAAUUUUAAGGCGCACCUAGCAAUACUCAUUAAGAAAAUGAGAAAGCCGGAGAAAAACAGUAUUUAGGAAUUAAUAAUAUGACCAAGUGUAAAAUGUAUUAUAGGAAGUAUGUAAAAAAGCAAGUGAACAAAAGCCAGAGGAUCUAGUAUAAAACUCGAGCAAUGUUCUACAUAUAUGCUUUACAUUAAAGGAUAUAUAUAUAUAUUACUAUAUACCUCAUUUAUCUAACGAUUUUAGAGUUAUUUCGCUAGUCGUAUAAUAUGAUUAGUAAAACAAUCCCACUGAUCCAACAGGUGAGGUGGAUGUAUUAGUAGCAUAUAUACUUUUAAAAAAAGCUCUCGAAUUUAAGAAUAGAAAGCAUGGGUCUAGCAAAUGGGUUUUCAUCAUUGUCUUCAUGUCUUGUCCUUAUGUUUUUCUUUUUUGUUUGUUUUGUUUUAUUUUUUGUCUUGUCCAAAACAUGAACAAGAGAAAUUAACUUGGUAUCUAUGCUUGAGUCAUCACUUGGCAUCUUGUUCGUUUGUCUUGUCGUAUAUAUGAUGAGUAGAGGGGUCCGAAUUUGGAAUCCACCGUUUCGAAUACUUUGGGCGAUUUCGAAGAGGAGAAUGGAUAGAAUUCCUUUUAGUAUUAAUUGUUUAGGAUCCAUUUGACACUUACAAUGGAAGAAGAGUAUUAUGCGUUACAUGUAAUUUAAUUACAAGUGCAUGAAAACAUAUUUAUAUAUUUCUAUAAAGAAUAGUAUAUACUUUAUUGUUUUAAUUUAUAGAUUGCACAAAGCAGUUAAAAUAUAAAAUUAUUUUAUAGGUCCACUAAGAAGCGGACAAGCAUAUUUCUGCACACUACGUACCUUUCUUAUUUAUUUUGGCCAAUCACAUUACACAACCCUCAAUACCAAUCUAUAUUAAAUAGGUUUGGUAGCAUUAUAUAUAUUGUGCGUAGCUUUUGAUUUUCUUUUUUUUUGGAUUUGGGAGAUUGCUCAACUCAAUGAAUAGAGGUUAGACAUCUAAUAAAUAGUAAGUCAAAAUUUGAGAUACGAGGAAAAGCUAAAAUGUGCUCCUACUAGGCUCAAGGCUCUAAACGUAAAAGUUACCUAUCAAAAAUUUGGAGGGUGAACUUUUAACUAAUCUCAAAAGUAUAUUGAUCUACCUUUCUUCUUAAUAGUCCUUGAUGCCAGCAUAUAUAGAGCUCUCUCAACUUUUAUUUUUGGGACAAUUUCCUGUGUGCCCCUCUAACAGUAUGUAUUUACAUGGAUGCCCCUAUAAAAGUUGAAAUAUCCUAAAUGCCUCUCAAAAUGUAAAAAACUUUCAAAAAUACCCUUCAAAACACAUUUUUGUUAAAAUCUACAGUAACAACAAUCAAAAUACCGAUUUUACCCUUUUCAUAAUUGCCCUUUUAAAUAUUCCAAUUAUUAGUAAUAAUUUUAACUUUUGUAAAUACCCCAUAAAUUUAAAAGUUUUACAAAUUUAAAAGUUAUUUAGUUAUAUUUUCACAUUGAUUUCUGUAAGAAUUAUAUAUUCUAAAAGAAUAAUAUUUUUAUCUUACUCAAUAUUAUUAAAUAUUUCUAAAUUUUUUUAAAAUGGAGAGAGAAAAUAAUAAAUAGCUGAAAAAUUACAAAGUUUUAUCAUUAAUUAUAAAGCAUAAAAUUACUUACUAGAUUUGAAAUUACAAUAAAACGAUUUAGCAUUGUUUACAAAUUUGUUUAAAAAAAACUCAGAUUAUCUGAUAAAUUUUAUAAUCAAGGUUAGAGGAAUGCAAAUAUACUAAAUAACAGUGUGAAUUGACUUUUAUUAAUAUUUUAAUAGUAUUUAAAUUGAAUACUUGUAUCUUUAUCUAAACUAAUUACUAGUGAGGGAUAGUUUUGAAAGUUUAUUUGUUGUACAUUUCAUCACAAUAAAGUGCUCUAUCAAAAUUUUAAAAAAAAUUCAGGAUAAAAUGAACAUUUUCACUAAUUCAUGAUAACCUAUCUAAAUUAAAUAGAUGUUUGGUAGGGAGAUAGAAAUUAACAACGAGAAUAUAUUUAUAAGAUAGUAUUUGUAAGGAUAUUUGUGAUAUAAUCAAAUUUAUAAGGAUAUUUAUAAUAUUUUGAACGUUUAGAGGGUAUGAAUGAAAUUAACUCUUCAUUAGUAAUAAUUGGAACAUUUAAAAGGGCAAUUAUGAAAAGGGCAAAAUCGGUAUUUUGAUUGUUGUUACUGUAGAUUUUAACAAAAAUAUGUUUUAAAGGGUAUUUUUGAAAGUUUUCUAUAUUUAGAGGGGCAUUUAGGAUAUUUUAAUUUUUAUAGGGGCAUUCGUGUAAAUACAUGCUUUUAGAGGGGCACACAUGAAAUUUUCCCUUUAUUUUUUAUAGUUCAAUACCUUCCUAACUUCUAAUUAUUUUGGGCAAACUAUUUUAUUCAAUUAGAUAAAAGAUUACAUUAAAUUUAAUAGCUCUGUCAACUAAUAGUCAUUAAUAGUAAUAAUUGUAUUUGGUAAAAAACUAACAAAAUUUUAGGUCAUUUGAACACUACAACAGAAUUAGGUUAUAGGGACACAUGUUUGAGACACUUUUGAGUAAGUGUCCUAUUUAUGCUAAAACUUAAAAACACAUCUACUAAUGUUUAAAUAUAAAGCCCAAUCCAACCAAAAAUAAAAGAUUACUCUACUCAACCGACCACACCCAGUCCAUUUGGCCCGAUUACAAGAAAAAAAAAAAAAAAAAAAGAAAAAUCAAUUAUCAUCUUUUCUUUUCUCUUCAUUCAAUCCACUGAAAUUCUAGACAAAGAGCUUUUACUGUCGUCCUCCUCCGCCACCGCAGCCAACAAGAUAGAGUUUCGACGGUUGCUAAAUGCUUAAAUAAGUGUUGGUAAAUUAGCAGCACUCUUUUAGGUUAUAGCGACACUCUUUAACUGUCACUAUAUACCUAGCGACCCCACAUAUAGCAAAAUUUUUUAAAAGUAUCGGUAAUUUUAGCUAGCAACACUUUUUUGACAUGUACUUACAUUUAAAAGUGUCGUUAUAGACUGUUUUUGUUGUAGUGGAAUGAAAUAAUAUUAAUAAAAUAAUUAGAAGUUAAGCCACUGCAAAUCAAAAAACUAAGGGUAAUAUAUUUUUCUAACGGUAAUUAAUUAUUUAGUCAAAAAAAUUUAAUUAGAUAAAUUUUGUUUAUUUGCUACUUUUAUGUAUUUACUUUGGCCUACGUACGUCACGAUCAAGUCCUAACUUUGUCCGCGCUCGUAAAUAUAUAAGAACACCAAAUUGAAUAUGUGACAAAGCUACAUUAUCGUAGUCCACUAUAUGUGGGAAUAAUUAAUAAAAGUUGUACACUUGUUGAACACCCAAAACACUAACAACAGGCCAAAACCAUGUCUAAGUUAGUUGUUAGAGAUAUCUAAGCGAACUAAUUUAUGGCAUUAAUUAAUGUCAUCGAUAAGUCUUCACAAAUCAUGUGAAAUUUCGUUUUCUUUCUUUCUUUCUUUCUUUCUUUUCUUAUACUGACCGUCAACUAUCGACUGACUAUUAUAACAUCAGAAAGACAGAAACCCAACCCGCUAGGCUACGUACACCUGUUAAUCCAAAGAUAAGAUCUUCAAGAGCCACAAAUAAUAAAUACAUAGUAGGGUUUAAACUUUUCAACCAUAAAAUUGGCACUUUGAUAUCUAAUCACUAGACUAUGGUAUUCUAAAGUUCCCUUUUCUAUAGAAAUCAAUACAAAUUCAGUGGAAGCAGCAUUUUCUUUUAUAAAAUUAAAAUUCUCAAGGCAAGAUGUAUUAGUUAAUUAAGCCUUAAUAUUUGGGACUUCACACUACAACAAAAUUAGGUUAUAGGGACACAUGUCUGGAACACUUUUGAGUAAGUGUCUGUAAGGACUGAGAUUUUUACAGUGCAACUAAACUCUCUGUUGAUGAUAUUUAUGUGUGUAAUUUAAUUAUAUAAGCACUCGUCAAGUUUCAGGAGAAAAUGAGCUAAAAUGGAGAAGUUACGCGAUUAUUAGUUUUCACUUAACUGAAUAGUAACUCCAGUUUUCCGGAGAAGCCACGGAGUAGAGUUGGCUUUCGGCGCGUAUCGGACUCCGUUCAUAGUGAUCCAAUAGCUCGUUUUGAACGGUUCAGCUAUUCUGGAACCAAUGGCACUGACGGAUUUUAGAUCUGAUGCACGGAGUUUCGAAGAAAAAGUUUUUCGAAAUGGUUUUCGUCUUGCUUAUUACGUUCAUUUUAAGUCUCGUACUCUGUUGAAUGACUAAGUUGAGGAGGAGUUUUAUAUCCUACUGGUGGUAGAGCCCAAAUUGAAUUGAGUUAAGGUUUUAGGGUUUAUACCUUGGUUAUUGUCAUAUACGGAGUUAAUUGAUGAGCGAUAGUGUUCGGACUAAGUGAUGGAGACUAAAUCGACAAAGAAUGCCUAGAUUCGAUGCCCGACGUGCUGAAUCGCGCCAUGGAGCCAUCCUUUCGGCGAUCAACGGACGGAUCGUCUGGGAAUCGUGAAAAAGUCUGAGGAGGUAUUUUUGGCAUCAAAUUAAUCGCCGGGAAAGCCCAAUUAUCGCACGUUUUGCGAGAUUUGAUACCUGACGGUCCUACGGUAUUUUAUUGCAGGGACAGGACUGUUCGAUAAUAUUGAUACGGUAGGCAAAGUGCAAAUGACAUUGUUAUUAUUUGACUAGGAAGUUAACAUGGAACCAUAACCUAAUCUCAACCCUUGCCUCCCUGUGACACCUAGCCGCCCUAGGAGGCCCCUCCACGCCGUGCUUACCCCGAGCCCGCGCCGCCCGUCCGGAAAAGGCUUCUAACUUCCAUCUCAUCCAUCCUUCCCUCUAUCUCUCUUUCUCUCGUUGGAUCCCAGGCAGCUACAUGGCCUUCGAACCGGCGUGCCCGUGCCUCGGAACUGUCCCCGCGACCGCCGCCGUCGCGUGCGCGCGCAUGCCGUGCGGCCGCAGGCCAAGCUCAGCCUGGACAGAUCUAGGCCGAGUUGAUGCCCGCAGCGCUCUCGCGCAUCGCGCGGCCCACGCUCUGGGGCGCACCCUCCCUACGACCUCGGCGUCGGUCGGCGCCUUUCCGCCGGCCUUCGCAUGUGGUGCCGCCAGAACUCGCCGCAGCGCCCGACGGAUGCGGGCUUGUGCUUCGGGGCAUCUCUGUCUCGCGCGUCGCCGCUGACUCUCGACAGGCCACGCCGCCCGAAAGACUCCAGCAAUCCUCCGCUCCGCGCGGUUCGACGCCGCCGGCGCGGACCGGUUCUCCUGCGCGCCAACCUCGUAGCGGGCUGGGACCGAGCCUCUCGCUUCGAGCUUAGUUCGCCGGCCAAGUCGGCGCGCCCGCUCCCUCGACCCGGCUCGUUCCAACGCCCGACCAGCCCUUCCGCCGCGUCGCCUGCGGAACUGUUGGAAGCACCAAACGCAGGGAGUGGCGAGCUCCGUUACUCGCCGCAGCACUCGGCCGCCCUGCGCGGUGACGUGGAGUGCCCCGGGCCCAUAUGUGUGUCCUCCCGCGGAGCGCGCGGAAUACGCGGCGAGCAACCCUAGCUACCUUCAUGGGUGUCCAUUUUGCAGCAGCACUGUUUCCACUUUCGGUAGCUUAUUCCGGGCAUCCGUAUGGUCUUUUGACUCGGAACGUGAGCACGAUGAUCCUUAGUCAUGAUACAUCGUACGUCUUCCGUCGAGCCUAUGAGAUGCCUUGUGCGCGCCGGCACCUGCGAUCUUCCUGCGGCUGCAUCGCUGCUUCGUGAUUUCGCGUCCUUCUGGCGACUGCAGUCGUGACGAAUGUGCUCCGAAAUGGUGCAGCACCGGAGUCGGCACGCUGAUUGAAACCUAUCACCUGAGUACGACGGUUGACCAGCGAACUUCGUAUCGGGAGUCGGCGCCUAUAGAAACAUGUCGGAGAAAUCGCAUAAAUGUAGAUAUUAGGGCUCAUGAUGUAGUUUCUGCUAUUAUUAACUUCCGACAUCCGGGUCACUUAUGACAGCGUAGUAACGCUGAGCGGUAACUCCUGGACGAUACGUCCAAGCCCAGCACUCCGAGAUGAAAAAUCCAUCUUUCGGGGCGUUUCGUGUGUGCAAUUCUGUUACGAAUCAAGAUCUUAGUUCGGUUCUUUAGCGACGAGUGCCUCGGAUAGCUAUGUGAGUCGCUUAAGUCUUUCUUGGCAGGUAGCCUGUGCGUUUCGCGGGUUUGGAAACGACGGACGUGAGCACUGAGCUGGAGUCACGGUGUCAAAAACGCACUUUGCGGUAACGGUUCAGACGUUUUUAGGUCACGAUGUCGGGCGCAAACAGUUCGAGGCGAAGAUUGAGUGUCUGCUACCAAUGUGUUCAACUAUAGAGUUUAUUAGUGACAGCGCCGACUCCAGUGAGUUGGGGUUUCCGUACAAUUAGUGACACCCGGCGAAGUCCGGUUUAUAUUUCGGAACCGAUGUGAUCGAGCAAUCGCGUUUGGGAACGAUUCCUGUGUUACUUGGUCACUUUGGAUUUUAUAUUAUUGAUUAAUUAGGGUUAAUCCUUUACUAGUGGACCCUUCAAUGUCGGUUUGCAUCUUGGUCCCGGCAUCGUGAGAUUGAUCCAAUGUACAGGUGGUACUGUCGACGUUGGUACAGUGGUUCACGCUCGGGAUAUGGUUUCUUACCUUGCUCUUGUUAUGUUCCAUCAUUAGUGUUUAUAUGAUUGAGCCUUGACCGCCUCUAUUGUUGCAUUACACCACGUUGUUGAUUUAUAUUCUACUAGAUGUUUCCAUGUUAGUAUCUUGUGUAGAGGUAAUAGUCUAAUCGUAUUGAUACCAUGUCUCUUGUUGCAUCUACUUAAUAUUCUGCAUACCCUGUUAUAUUUAUAGUUAGAGUGAUUCGUGAUUAUUGUGAGAUUAGCGAUUAGUCGGUCAUUCUAAUAUUCGUAAUUUGUGACAUAGUUUAGUCGAGUUAUAUAUACUUGUGACCUGGAUGAUGGUUCGAUUUGGUUAUUGAUGACCACAUAGCCGGAUUCGAUGGCCCUGGGGGGCAGGAUGUGGCUGCGUUGCCGCGGCUUGAUCAUUGGAUAUUGCAUUGAUUUGCCAGAUAAUCUCGUGCAUUCGCAACAACUGCAUGUCUGAUCCACGAAAGAGUUCUUUUCCGAAAGUGUGUUGAAUGUUGACAACCGUGAGCCCUAUAGCGGUUAGUUGCACAUCUAGGCGCCAGUGUCUUCGGAGGUGUUGCUCGCGACUCCAGAGAUUGAUUUGAGGCUCUCGGUGUUGACCAGAGAUAACUUGGUUUCGAUUGAGUACUUUUGGACUAUUGUCCCAUUGAGCAAUAAUAUAGUAACAGUCGAUUGCAUGCAUAGUUACAUUCUUUCUAUAACUGUUUUGCUAUAUAUUUUGUUACCAGUAUGUUUAAUAUUCAUGUAUUACUUUCUGUUCCAUCAGUAGCGGUAAUCCAUUAUUCAAUUAGUUUUACUCUCUUUCAGUUUAUUAUCUACCGUAUCAGUUACUCUCACUACUUUAUUGUUGUUGCUACUUAUAUUUCACUGAUCCCUUGUUUUGUAUAGCCUUUCCUGAAUCCAGGUGAUAUCCUCGCUUCUUCGGCUUCUAACCGGUAUACACUGGAGGGGAGAAUGUUUACAUGUUCUCACCUCCCCCUCAUUUUUCAGGUUAUCGGCGGGCGAUGAUGUGGGACGAACGUGAGGUAGGUGUAUGCGGUCGAUACUUCACCAGUUUUUCGUAUAGUUAUUACUUAUUAUUGUCAUGUUGAUCUAGCCUUAUAUAGUUAUGCUUCAGGUAUUUUUAUUAAUUUGAAUAUUAUUUUCUGUGAAUGUAAAAAUGGAUUUCUGGAAUUUUGAUUAAAAGGUUUUGUACCCCAUCUAGUAUAGAGUUUUUAAAGAAUAAAGAUUUUCGUAUAGAAAAUAUUUUCAAAAGGUUCUCUUUGUGGAUUUUGCAUCUUAUAUUCAAAACUCAGUUUCUGUGUUGGAAAAUAGUAAUCUGAUAGAUGUGGAUUUAUGUUUAAUAUCGAAUAUAUAAGUGAAACCUCGCUUGAUGUGAAUGGGUAUGAAUAUUAUAAUGUUGGUUUAUUUGUAUGUUCUAUUAGAUUGUGUGGUACUGGUUACUUCUUUGUACUUGACUGUGAUCGCGUGCAAAUUACGGGAACUCUGUAGUCAAAUAACAGUGGAUUCUCUUGUUUGUGAGACGAGUCUCGGCAUACUCUCAUGGGUCAGGCAAUUUCAAAAAAGAAAAAAAAAAUUAUACGCUUUUCGCUAUGUGUUUAAAAAAAGGCACCCUGGGGCUGACACCUGGCACACUCUAGGGGGUCAGAUUUACAAAAAAAAAAUUUUCGGACGCUUAUGUCCUCUACCAUUUUAAUUAAAGGACCCGGGGAGUCCUGUGACUCCACAAAUUCCAGGGGUCACCAUGCUAAUACUCUCGCCAAGCACGCUUAAAUGCGAGAGUUCGGAUGCGAUGGUGUUCUCACAAUCUCCCCUCCUUUAAGCCCUGACGUCCUCGUCAGGCUCAGACUCACAAGUACCAGGCGAUGUGAGAAUCGUCUCGCUAGCCCGUCAUCCAGACCCUGGCUCAGCCGAGACUCAUCUGACACUUCCGGCUGGUAAUUGGCUCUGAUACCAUCUGUGACGCCCCAACUUCCCAGAGGGUCAUCCAUCCUAGAACUACUCUCGUUCUAGCACGCUUAACUCUCUUAACCUCUUGGGCCUUGCCACCACCCAAAAUGCUUAAGCCGGGUUAAGAGUUUAGCUCUAUUAUAUCUCAUAUAUAGGACUAUCUGGGGUCUCACAAACCCCUUGCUACUUCUUCCUCGUCGAUUCCGCGAAACCCAUGCUUCCGAAUCUAGCUUCUCAUCUAAACUAAUUGCAAUCAAAGAAUUUUAAAAACAAAAAAAAAAUUACGGUAAAAUUAAUUUUAGUUUACUCAUCUAAACUAAUUGCAAUCAAAGAAUUUUAAAAACAAAAAAAUAAAAAUUUAUUUCAAUACAUUAAUGUGAGAGUAUUUUUGUCUUUUUUCUCUCUUUACCAACCACUAUCGUUUUUAUCCCACCUACUCCAACCAAACACUAUUUUUCACUAUCCUGCACUAACUCUAACCCCCAACCAAACACAAAAAAACUUUAAUCCCACCUUAACCCUGAACUUAACCCUAUCCCUGGAAUAACUAAUUUUUCCUUAACCCCGAACU